Molecule: long non-coding RNA, 66871 nt
Filed under: Capsicum annuum
Lineage: Eukaryota; Viridiplantae; Streptophyta; Magnoliopsida; Solanales; Solanaceae
Description: long non-coding RNA (CANN_LNC014837)
Source: RNAcentral
UGGAAAUGGAGCUUCGUGUGAAGGAAUCUUGAAUUAUAAGCUAUAGAAACUAAGGAAUAUGAAAAACGAAAGGCUACUUUUGAAGAAGAUAGCUCUCAAGAAUAGAAGGCUACAAUGACUUGGAAUUAUUCUCACGUGAGCUAAUUGCAAGACUUUCAAUUCUGCUUUACGACAUUCAAACCUCCAAAUUUAUUCGUUUUUUUUUUUUUUUUUGUGAAAAAGAAAUACAAAUAGAAGUUGGAUGAGAUAAAAUUUUCCUAAUAAUCCGUAAUAAGCUAUCCUAAAAUAUAAUAAUACAAUAUUCUUCUUUCCUACAAUAGUAAUUACACGAUGAAUCCUUACCCUUACCAUUCAGACCAACAUAUAGCUAAAGUCUUCUAAUAAGACAACACGUACUGAGGGUUCUCCAAAUUUAUUCGUUUUGUGAAGCAAAAAUGGAAGCUCGAAAACAAAGCUUGUGUAACUAAACCAAUUUAAAAAAAAUGUGUGACUAAUCAAAGGUAUCACGACAAGUUAAUACACCAUGAGCAAUGACUCAUAAAUAUAUCCUCUCUUUAACAGAUUCACAUUUGAAAGGAAGGUAGUUCACCUAGUUCAACAUGUAUCAAAGCAGGCAGAACUGAGAGCAGACGCAACCCUUAGGUGUUUAUUUUUUUUUGUGUGUGUGUGUGACUGAGAGAGAGAGAACCCACUAAAAUUUCAACAAAUACCAGAAGUUUAGAAGUACAAUCAGUUCUAUGUUGAGAACCAUAGAGGUCAAACCCGUAGUAAAUCAUGGAUCUGCUCUGGGACAGAACAUGCCUUACAACGAGAAAAUUUCCAGCUCAAGCUGACUUUUUUCACAAAGCCCAACUUUAACUACGUGAAAGAAAGAAAAUCAGUUCUUUCAAAUUUUUUUCGAUAAGCUUAUGAAAAAAAAAAAGGGUUCUUUCAGCAAUCAAACUAGUAAAGAUAACUUCUUUAACCACUUUUUGGGGAAAUUAAGCUACACUCUCCUUUCUUUCUUUUUGACAACUGUGGUGUCCGAGGCAGCUUGUGCGCAUCUCGACUAAUUCCACGGGAUACGUGUCCCCUGCUUCCAGCAACAGAGAUAGCAGGCAUCUAAGCAUCUAACUCUGUCCACUGAGGCUAGGACAAAAGGGAAGAAAUCACCUAGUAUUUUUUGCCUCCACUGGAAUUUGAACCUCAGACCUCAUUGCUGUCAACCAGUUCAUUGACCACUAGGCCACACUUUUGGGUGUCUAUACUCUUCUUUUGUACUCCAUGUUAAAGAUUAUUAUAAUUUACUUCUCACAAUUUAAUUAAGCACAGAAAAUCAAGAGUUCAACAUCACCAGCAGCUUACAAGUAAAUCCAUUUUUGUAUAUAAGUAGAUGAAAAAAUGGGUUCUUUCAGCAAUAAAACUAGUAAAGACAACUCCUUUAACCACUUUUAGGGACAACUAAGCUUCUCUUCUUUUCUAUACCAUGUUAAAGAUACUAUAGUUUACUUCUUACAAUUUCAAAUCAGCAGAGAAAGUCAAGAAUCCAACAUCACCAACAACAUACAGGCAAGCCUAUUUUUAUAUAUAAGGUUAUGGGAAAAAAGGGUUCUUUUUUUUUUUUUUUUUUCAUAAUGUGGUGUUCGGUCCAGCUUGCGGACACCUCCACUAUUUCCACAUAAUACCUACCACCUCCCACCAGCAAAGUGACAGGUAAAUCUGUCCACCAAGUCUAAAGCAGAUGGAACAAAAUGGAAAAAUGGGGUUCUUUCAAACAACCAAACUAGUAAGAUAACUUCUUUAACCACAUUUUGAGGCAAUUAAGCUAUACACUUCUUUCUACACCAUAUUAAAUAUACUAUAAUUUAUUCCGCAGAGGAAAAAUAAGAAUGCAACAUCACCAGCAGCAUACAAGCAAAACCCAUCCUCUAUAUAUAAGUUUAUGGGGAAAAAAUACAUUCUUUCAGCAAACAAACUAGUAAAUACAACUUCUUUUAACCAAAUUUUUGUCCAAUUAAGCUAUAAUUCACUUCUUCUUACAAUUUCAAUUCAACACAGAAAAUCAAGAAUUCAACAUCACCAAUAGCAUACAAGUAAACUCAUUUUUAGCAAUUCCUUUUUUUUUUUCCACUGCCAAAAUAUAUCUAAACAUCAAUUUAAAGAAUUUGGGGGAGAUGGUCUAGUGGUUCAGAAAUCAGAACCAUGAGUUCAAGUUCAAUUCCCAACGGAGAAAAAAAAAAUACUAGCCAUUUGUUCGGACAAAAUUACUGUGCAAUUAAUUGAGGUGCCUAAAUGCUGACUCGAGCAUAAUUUUUUUUUCCUGGGAGAGCAAAAAGAAAAACGAAAAAAAGAAAAAGAACCUGUCACGGAUUUGGAGUUGGUCAAUCAUAGCAGCCAUUCUUUGUUGGUCAGCUUGAUUAAGAGAAUUCAAAUCACCCAUCAUACUCGUGUCCAUUUUUUUUUUCACUUAUUGAUUUAUUAUCAACAAAAAUAUGUAGUAACUAUUUAGGAUUCAAUUAUAACAAAAAGAGUUCUGUUUUAUUAUAUUCCUUAUAUUUCAAAUUUCAAUGAACCCUAAAUAGUUGUGUGUGACGUGAGAGAUUAGUUAACACUUAAGUUUCUGUAGAACUCCCUCUUGAUUUAUGAAAUUGCACUUAAGUACACAACUUUUUGCAACAAAAAAAAGGGCUUUAUCCAAGGGUAAAAAGUUUUAUUUCCUUGAAAAAUAAGUUAAUUUAUUAUUUAUUUUUCAGAGAAAGGUCAAAUGUACCCCAAACUUUCGAAAAUAGUAUGCAAAUAGCCAAAUAGCUUUUGUUAUAUUUUUAGGUUGUCAAUGCCCUUAACAUCAUACUUUUGGGGCGUAUAUACCCUGAAGUGUAACAGAUAGACACAUGGGGUGUGUUUGGUAUGAAGGAAAAUGUUUUCCUGGAAUGGAAAACAAGUUGAUUUCUUUCUUACUUAUUUUCUUAUGUUUGAUUGGUGGAUGAAAAAUAUUUUCUAGUAUUUGGUUGGUGAAUGAAAAAAUAUUUUUCAAAAAAUACAUUUUAGUGUUUAAUUAAAGCGUAAAAAUACAUUUUAGAAUUCUUUUUUAAAAAAAUAAAUUAAAAAAAUUAAAGUUUUUUGGGGAAGGGGUUGGUAGGCGGGUGGAUGGGGGUGUCAGAAUAGGUAGUAGGGGUGGGGUAAGAAAAGAUUUUGAAUUUUUUUCGUUAAAAAAAAUUAAAAAAUUGGCUGGGGAAGGGGGCUUAGUAGGAGCUGGGGAUCAGGGUAGGGGAGUGAGGGGGAAGGGGGAAGAAAAAAAUUUUAAAAAUUUAAAAAAUAAAUUUAAUUUUUUGUAGGUGGUUGAGAAUUAUUAUAUAAUGCAGGUUAUUACUUGUUUCUCCGUCCCAUAUUAGUUGAUCACUUUAGUAAAAAUACAUAUUCCAAAUUACUUGUCCACCUACUAAAUCAAGAUCAAGUUAAUUAAAAUUUUUCCAUUUUCCUCUUCUUUUUUUUCCUGUUAAAAGAAAUUACUUGAACAUUAUUCCAAGAAUUUAAUUUUUUCCACUGAUAGGGCAUUGAGAGUGGAGUAGAUAAUUUUGAGAAUUGUAUGAAUAUUUUAACUUUAAAGUGGGGUUGAAAGAGAGUUUUGAAAAUGUUUUUCUUAUUUUUUGAAGGGAAGUAAUUUUCCUUAUAUUUAAGGAAAAUAAGUUGGUUUGAAAAAUAUUUUUCAAAACAUAUAAGCCAACCAAACAUAAGAAAACUGGAAAAUAUUUUCCUUCGUACCAAACACACCCAUGGUAUCUCUUAUGGUUAAUUUAGGUUUUAUAGUCUGAAUCAGAUUAAUUUUUUUGUUUGGCAAUAAAACGAAACUUUAUUAAUCAGCAAGUAAUGUGUUAUAAGCCAAGAGAAGUGCAAUACAAUUACAGACUACUCAGCACCUACUAAACAAAUAACCCAUAUCACUACUUCACAGAACUUAUAUAAGUAAAUAAACUAUAGUUUGAUCUAACUCGAGUACACAUAUCAAUUUGCAUUUGAUGAACUAAACCAUCUAUUGAUGUGCUCCGCUGUUGAACAAUCUCUAGUGUUUCUUUUAAUCCAGAUAAUAGUGUACAUUGUAGUAGUAAGACUAGUCUUCAGUAUCAACUCUCUGGGAUGCUUACUUCUAGCCAAUUGAUUUAUCCAUAGCCAUAUUGCAUUCCAACCUCUUGAACAUCCUUGCAAUUUCUGUCAUCUUAAGAUAGAGUCCCACAGUUUAUAUAUAUUGUCACGAUCAAAGAACAGGUCACAGGUGAUCUCUAGUUCCAUUAUGCAGCCGACAAAACAUACACUUCUCAUCAACAAUCAUAUCCUAGUUGACAAGCAUAUUCUUUUUUCUAAUUCUAUUUUGUUGGCAUAGCCACACAAUAAAUACUUAUUUAGGCUCAGUAAUGUUAUGACACUAAACUCAUUUCCAAGCAACAUUUUCAACUUCUCCUCUCAACACCUUAGAAGCUUUAGAGAUCUAAAAUUUUUCCUGAGAGAUUAUAUCAACAGUAAUGCUCAGAUUCUGACAAUAUUUUCUCAUUGUUACUGCUUUUCUGACCAUCCAGGAAGCUUGCAUUGGCAUUUGUAAAGUGUAUAAGUUCCCCUUUAUGUAGUAUUGAAGCACCCACGCUAUCCUUAUUUUCUCUUUGUAUUAACUUAGAGCCCACAAUAACUUGCAAAUAACAUCAGUAUUCUAAAGUCUCCAGUUUAUAAUGUCCAGUGCUCCUGCACUCUUUGAUAAGCAUAUUUUGUCCCAUGCCACUAAGGCUCUUUUAGUUAUAACAACUUCACCUGACUAUAAGUAGCUUCUAGAUGUAGCCUCAAUUAGUUUAAUCACUUUCUUUGGCAUUAAAACAGUUAGGACCGAUAGGCUCGUAUCCUAAAUAACACAAACCUGAUAAGUUGUAGUCUACCUGCAUUGGUAAGAUAUUUUGCCAUUCAACUUGUAACUCUUGCAGCAAUCUUCUCUAUCAAUGACUGACAUUGAGCAAUAGUGAGUCUCUUAGUAAAGAGGGGGACACCAAGGUUUUAAAGGGCAAAUUACCUUUUUCAUACCCUAAAGCCUGCAAAAUAUCUUGCUACACAUGAAAAUUCACUCUACCAAAGUACACCUAGAGUUUAGACAUGUUUGCUUUCAAAACUGUAGCUUCAGAGAACAUAUCAAACUAUCUUUUUAGGAGCAAAACUAAAGAUAAGUCACCCUUAGUAAACCUAAGGAAUCAUCAGCAAAACAAAGGUGAGUAAAGUUUAAUUUUUUACACCUAGGAUAGUAGUUACAGUCAUGUUACUUCUGUAAACCAGUCAUGCAUCUAUUAAAAUACUCCAUUAUAAUGACAAAAAGGUAAAGGGACAUAGGAUCCCUUUGCCUUAAUCCCCUUUUAGCUUGAAUUGUAUUUGUAAGAGUUUCAUUCACUAGAAAAGUGUAGUUCACAGUUGUAACACAUAGCAAGAUCCAUUGAAUCAUCAGACAAGGGAAACCCAGCUCCUUCAAAAUUUGCUUCAAGCACACCCAUUAUAUACCAUCAUAAGCUUUUUAUAAAUCAACUUUUAUCAUACACCUAGUGUAACCUUUGAUCAAUUUAUGACUAAUUAAGAUAUUGUCUGAGAUGAGUUUACCUGGUACAAAGGCUUUCUGAUACUGUCCUAGAAUACCAUCUAAUACACCUUUAAUUCUAUUGGUAAUCACGUUAGAGAUAAUUUUAUAUAUGAUAGUACAACAAGCUGUAGAUCUGCACUCUCUUAUUGUCUUAGGCUUGGAUGUUUUAGGGAUCAAAUUAACAAUAGUAUUAUUUGCAGUUGUUAGUAAUUUUCUCUUACCAACUAGUAAUUUUCUCUUACCAAAUAAUUCUUACACUGUAUCAUGAAUAUCAUUUUGAAUCACCUUUCAAGCUUUCUUAAAGAAGUAGGUCGAGUAUCCGUCUAUCCUAUGAGAUUUGUUACUAUCAAUAUUGAAAAGUGCCUGUUGAAUUUCCUACAUAGUAACUUCUCCGCACAUAGUUUAUUGUUGCUGCAGUGUAAGGCUUGGUCCCAGCCUUAUGCUUAAGAUAUUUAUUGCAGAUAUAUCUGAGGAGGUAGAUCCUAAUAAUUUUUUCUAAAAAUAUAGUAUCUUAGCCUCAAUAUAUUGUGCCUUAUGCAACACUUUACCACCACUAUCUAUCAGCAAAAAUAUAGCAUUGGAACUUGCUCUAGCCUUCAUACAUCUAAAGAAUAACUAUUAUUACCAUCCCCUACUUCAAUCCAGUGAACCUUAAGUUUUUGUUUAAAAAUCUUAUCCUUCAAAGUCGACUAUUUGUGGAGUUUCGGCUAGCCUUUGUUUCCUCUACUACAUCAGGACUUACAAAAUUCCUUAAGAGGCUCUACAUAUGAAGCACAUUUUCUCCAACAACUUAUAUCUUUCUCUCUAAGCUUCUCACAUAUACAUUCUUCAAUUUCUUUAGAGGUUCUUUGCAUAACUGUAAAUUCUUCCUUAACUUAUACAUGCAUGUGUCAUCAGCAAAUGUACUCCAAACCUAAGCAACAAGUGGGAGAAACUUUUCAUUAUCUGCAAGGAUAUUAAGAAAUUUAAAAGGUUUUUUAGUUUAUGAUCUUUCAGCUGCAAUAUCCAUAUGUACAUGUGAGUGGUCAGAGAAACAAUUACCAAAGAACUAAGUUGUGAUCCCUCCAUGGGUUACAGAACGCUCUAUCAAUUGUACUCCAUAUAUGUUUGUUAGUCCGAGUAAAAUUCUUUCUCAUUACUUUUAUAUCUAUCAAGUUGAGGUUAUCCAUAAUUAUUUGAAGGUCAUUUAUCUCAUUUACAUAAACUGGUUAUCCACCCAUUAGAUCAUCACUUGUGAGGAUAGAGUUGAAGUCCCCAAAAAUACAUCAAUGCAUAGUGUUUCCAGUUCUUAUAUGAGUAAGCCUCUCUUAGAGUUCCUUCUUUUCUUCCAGGCUAUUACUACCAUAAACUAUAGUCAAUGCAAUGCACACCUAAAGUCAGACCUUCUAUCUUGGAUUACACAGUGAAUGAAUUGAGUAUGACAUGUCUGUUGCGAGUUACUAACUUCAGCUUUCUUUCAUAUUAGCCAAAUUUUUCAAGUUGAAUUAGAGUAAUAAUUGUGAAUACAAGCCCAUCCUUUUGCACAUCUAGCUAAGCUCUCCUGAAAUUUAUGAUGCUUGAUUUUGGUUUCUACAAGUUCAACUAACUAUAUAUGAUUUGUCUUUAUAUACUCCCUUAUUUUUCUUUGUUUGAGAGGACUGUUUAAGCCUAUCAUAUUCCAGACUAAUCAUUUCAUUGGGACAAAAGGUUUUCCCCCUCUUCAAAGGCCUUUCCUUAUCCUAUGCAACCACAUUCACAACUGCUAAAGAAGAGAAUGAAUUUUGAAUCCUCAAUGUAGGUCCUCUUAAUUCUCUUACAGAGUUAUACAUCACUAAUUAUGCAUAUGACAUACUCCUCAUUCAACUAUUAAAAGAAAUAACUUUACUUAUAUUUGCAUCAUAUUUUUAGAGUUAUCGUCCCUGAGGUUCCUAGAGUAGUUAGCUUUUUAUUCAAACCAACAACAGGUUUAGGAACUACAAUGACUUCUCAACUACUAUAACACCCUUCCCUAUCUAUUUCUGCACCAUUUUUUUGUCUUCUUGAUUAUCAAGCCUUUUUUCUUUAUUGUUGCUUCGUUGGUCUAGUGUUGUCAAGCUUAACAGGAGGUAUUGUUUUCUUUUCUGGACAUACAUGUCCAUAUAUUUAUCAAAUAGGUCAAGAUAGGGGUUUUUAGUAAUAUGUAACGGGCUUCGUGAACACUCUUCCAUUAGGAUUAAUUAUCUCAAUUUCCUUAGGCAAAUCUUGAGUGAUGUUCAUAUCAACUAGCACUCUUGCAUAAGAUAUCCUGGAUUGAGUCUUAGUGCACUUAUCUACAAAUAGAGGUUCUCCCAAUCUACUAACCAUUUUACUCAAUGUCUUCGGGUUCAAUAAUUGAGAGGAAGCUUAUAAAAAUGUACCUAUAGUGGAAUUGUGCUUGGGAAUUAAGUUUGAAAAUGAAACACCCUAGUUUCUGGACCUUAGAAAAUUUCUGGAAUUCUGAUCUCUGGACCCAAUAUAACUCAUGGGUACGAGCCGUAUGUUGGGGUACGGAUGGUAUGGUCCGGUUGUAUACUGACCAGUGUUGGUUGGUGGGAUGGAUUUUGAUUACUAGAAUUGACACGAAUUAGGGGUAUGAGUCGUAUUGUUGGUUACCGAUCAUUUGGUUCCUUAACUUAAUCUUAGACUUGGUUACUUAUGUUGGAUCUGAGUAAGAGUGGCUCACCAUGAGUUGUAAGCCAGGGUACGAAUCAUACCAGGGACUCGUUUGGUAAAUAGUGUCCAAUCCUCCUAGUAAUUUAUUCUGCUAGGGAUAUUGGGUCAUGGAUACGAAUUAUAUGUUGUGGUUACGACUUGGUUGGAUGAGUCGUAUACUGGAUAUGGUUGAUCCAAGGGUUGAGGCUUGGAUAAGAGUGUUGGAAACCAAUCAUAUUGGGAGGGUACGACUCGUGAGGGUCAGUUUUAUCCCUGUGAUGGGAUUUUGUGCAACUUAAGUGGAGGUAUUCUAGAUAUUUCUCUACUUAUCCUAAUAGGGUUCCACGACUUCUAAGCUACCUGAAAGGUUAUUUAUCCUAAUAUUCUAUUCAUUAAUACUUAGAAACUCUUCCAAAACAUUUCAUAAUUCUCUUAAGAACUAUUGGGUAAGGGAAUCUAGGGUUUCAACUAGGGUAUUAAUUUGGGGCUUAUCUUGGUAAUUUUAUUCCGCCAUUGCCUUGGUUUAAGACAUGUUUCUCUUCCCUCAUUAUUAAUUUAAUUAAAGGCAUGGUUUAUAUGAAUAUUUUCGUAGUUUUACUAGUGUAUGACUUUAGCUUUCAAAUAUGAUUUGGGGAGGAGCUGAUGUUAAUUGCUUGGUUAUGAUUUCCCAUGGUUUUAAUUAUGCUUUUAUAUGCAUUAAUGGUGGUUUUAGAUAAUUGGAUUGGAUGGGAAUGGUUUAUUCACAGUUAGAAUUGGUUUUGGUUAUAUUAUGCCCCCAAUGUGUUUGACAAAAUGCUUAUAAAGAUAUGUUCAUUGCAUCGACUUCUUUUAAUGGAAUUCUUGCAUAUUUUAAACUUGGCAAAAUAAUUAUACAUGAUUUAAAUAGUUUGGAAAGACUAAAGGCUAACUGGUUAUGCUUGUAGGGAACAUGAAAGUCUUCCAAGUAGUUUAAUAUGGUAAAUAGAAGGGCACUUAAAAGUUAUCUUAAACCUAUAAAUGGUUGGAUAUAGAUGAUACUUGCAAGUAAGGGUUGGUAUGACGAUACUAAUAGCAAUGGCCUUGGUUAGUAAAUGGAAAUGGUUUUGUUAUUUGAAAAUUGGUUUUAAUUGGAAAAUAAUGGCGGGAUGUGUAGCAAAGUCGUAGAAGGUAGAGGUCCCGGGGGGACAAAAACUGGAAACUCAUAUUUGUCGAUAUGAGGUUGGUCUUGGUGUCGUAUGCAUAAUGUCACACUUUAUUUUGGGGAUGUACUAGUCAUCCCAUAUGAUACUUCCCUGGUCGCGUGGCUACACGCACUGGGGCCCUUUUAGUGGGGGGGAGCUGAACCCAUAUAGCCCCCGGGUGAUUUAGGACGGCAAAGCUACACAAUCCAGGUAAAGGUUUUAAAGGCAUGCUAAACCCGAUCCCUUUUUUCGGCAUGGAUAUAUAUAUAUAGGUGUAUGAUGUAUGAUUGUAUGCAUCAUGGAUAGUUUUACUUGGUUUUAUAAAUGACAUUCUGAGAUCAUGCUAGUGGUCACUCGCUAACCCCAUCUACUGACGGCUGUAUACCCACGUUAUAUAGGAACCAGCUGUUCUACUCUUCCUACAUAGUGAUUGACUCGAGGACAGUAUUUGGACUAAAGUGGUGAGCUUCUAUCCUUUCGGAAGACAUCAUUUCUUGUUAUAGAUAUUUUUAGAUAUUUUGACUUUAUUUUGGAUAUUGGUUUUGGCUAUGGUUGGGGGCAUGUCCACAAAUUCGGAUAGAGGAUUUAUGGUACUUCUAUGGAUUGGAAUGGGCGGGAUCGGUAUUGGUGUCGACCUUGGCAUUGGAAUAAGCCGGUGGGCUAACAUUAUUAGACGAUAUUAUUGGUUGUUCUAUUCUAUUACAUUUUGGGAUUAAUUAUAUUAUGUUUUAGAAUAUCCUUGGUUAUGGCAUUUGUUUGGUAUGGUUGGAUUAUUGGUAUGAGAGGGGUGACCUCGGUUAGGUUGGUCACGAUUGUGAUCUAUUCCUAGAGUUCUUAUGUGAGCUGUUAUACUAUUUUGUUACAUGCUGGAAUUCAGCCAACUCAGGGCAGGCUACUGGAGGUUGGGUUGGGUACUGGGGGUGGUCUUCAAUCCUAGUCGAACUUAGGAUGCCCAUUACGACAAGGCCUAGGGGGUUGUGUCAAGUUGGUAAGAGUCUAGGUUCAUGGUCAAUUAAGAGUCCACAAAGUCGUAUCGAGUAGAGUCUCUUUUUGGGGUGUGUAGCGCGCCAUACUCAUAAGGAAGAGGCUAUAAGGCAUUUAAGAAUGUUUUACUUUCUUUGUAUUCUAUCUUUGAGCUUAAAUUCUCAGUCCUGGAAUCUUCUGUAAUCCUUAUUUAUUCAUCUUUCAGAUCAUACCUCAUAAAUACGGAUUACAAAAAAAAUCUUCUAUCCCAUCUAGAGGUAAUACUGAAGGGGUGCAUCCUACUUCUGGGGUUUAUCUUUGAUCUCACGGUCCUAUCCCUAAUAGUUCUGGAGUUCCACUGAUUGCUACUAGUCCUCCUUAAGGCAAGGUGACUAAUGCAGAAUUUCGUCAGUCUAUUCAUGUUAUUGCUAAGUUGGUUGCUGCUCAGGCUGACCGGGAUAUGUCUGAUGCUUUGUCAGCUGAGGCCACAAGGGUUGUCUAACUUAUGAAUAUGAGUCCUCCCACUUUUUCUAAAGUGGAGAUGGAGGAAGAUCCACAAGGCUUCCUGGAUGAGAUGGAAAAUAUAUCUCGGGUGAUGCAGUCUACCAAUGGUAAGGGGUAAACUUUGCAUAGUAUGAGCUCAAAGAGGUUGUAUAUCAGUGGUAUAAAGAGUAGGAUAGGGAUAGAGGUGAUAUGGAAGAGGAAGGUUUGUAAGAGGCCUUUUCUAACACCUUCUUGGAUCAAUUCUUUUUCCAAGAGCUGGGGAAAGAAAAGAUGGAAGAGUUUGUGAACCUCAAGCAGGAGAGAAUGUCUGUCAAGGAAUAUGCCUUGAAGUUUUACCAGUUAUCAAGGUAUGUUCCUGAUUUAAUGGCUAGCAUGCGGGCUAGAAUGAGGAAGUUCAUUUCUGGGUUAAAUUGGGAUUUAUUUUGGAGAGCAAAAAUACCUUGAUGAUUAAAGAUAUGGACAUCUCUAGGUUUACAGUUCAUAUACAGUAAGUGGAGUAUGAGAAGAGGAAGCAGGCAGUGUUCAAAGAUAGGCAGGGAAAGAUGAGAAGGUUUUCUGAUCAGGAAGGUGCUCAAUCUUAUGGUGGUAGAGAUGGUGGCAAGUGGCAGAAAAAAAAAGAGUUCUGGUGCCUACUCUUCUGCUAGUGUUCCUUACCAGUCGAGCAACAGGCGACAUUAUGGUGGUGACAAUUCUCGGGCACAAGGUGCCUAAUCUCAGGCGAAUGAAGGUCAUUCAAUUUUUUGAUGUGGUCAUCCUCAUUGUGAUUAUUGAGAUGAAGAAAAGGAUAGAUGCUUCAGUGUGUCCAGACAGGCCAUCGACUCAGGAAUUAUCUGGUUAAUAAGGUUGCUAUGGGGGAAAAUAAGAUUUUUGUGGCUUCAUUUUCUGCUUCUACACCUAGUGGUGUAGCACCUUCUUCUAUUACUGCUCUUGGUUCUAGUGUUGGUUGAAAUAGUUUAUAUGCUUUGGCAUCCCAACAGGAAUUCGAGGCAUCACCUGAUGUCGUUACUGGUACGUUAUAGCUUUUUUCUUGUAACGUAUAUUAUUUUCUUAAUUCAGGGUUUACUCUUGCCUAUGUGACUCCUUAUGUGGUUAUAUCUUUUGGUUUUGAUCCAGAAGUUAUUUCGAAUUCUUUUUCUAUUUCUACCCCAGUAGGUGACUCGGUUAUUGCUAAUAGAGUCUAUAGGGUGUGUGUGGUAUAUGUUGGUGGAAAGCAGACCUUGGUGGAUCUGUUUGAGUUAGAUAUGGUGGAUUUUGAUGUUAUUCUGGGUAUGGACUGGUUAUACUCUUGUUACGCAGCUUUGAAUUAUCGGACCCGUAGGGUUAUCUUUAGGUUUUCUAGUGAAUUGGUUAUAGAAUGUGAGGGAGCUUCUUUAGCUCCUAUGGGGAGGUUUGUUUAUUAUCUUAGAGUUCGGAGGUUAAUCUCCAACAGUUGUCUUUAUCACAUGGUCCGAGUUAAAGAUUCUAACUCAGAUGGUCCUUCUUUCCAGUUAGUUCCAGUGGUUAAUAAGUUUUCAAAGGUCUUUCCAGAUGAUCUUCCUAGUGUUUCUCCAUAUAGGGAAAUAGAGUUUGGUAUUGAUAUAAUUCCGGAUGCUUAUCUAAUUUUUAUUCCUCCGUAUAGAAUGACUCCGGCUGAGUUAAGGGAACUCAAGGAGCAACUUAAGGAUCCUCUAUAUAAAGGGUUUAUUCAUCCUAGUAUAUCUUAUUGGGGUGAACCAGUGUUGUUUGUGUGCAAGAAGGAUGGUUCCCUUCGGAUAUGCAUUGACUACAGGCAGUUGAAUAAGGUGACGGUUAAGAACAAGUAUCCUCUUUCAAGGAUAGAUGAUCUGUUUGACUAGUUGAAAGGUUCCAAGUUCUUUUCUAAGAUAGAUCUUUGGUCGGAGUAUCAUCAUCUAAAGAUUAGGGAGGUGGAUAUCCCUAAGAUGACUUUUCAUACUCGGUAUGGGCACUUUGAGUUUCUGGUGAUGUCAUUUGGGUUGACUAAUGCUUCGAUAAUAUUUAUGGAUCUGAUUAAUAGGGUAUUCAGUCAGUAUUUAGAUCUCUUCAUCAUUGUGUUUAUUAAUGAUAUUCUGGUUUAUUCGAAGAGCAAGGUGGAUCAUAGUAAUCACCUUCGUAUGGUGUUAUAGACCUUAAAAGAACAACAGUUAUAUGCCAAGUUCUCCAAGUAUGAGUUUUAGUUGAACGUUGUGACUUUCUUGGGUCAUAUUAUUUGUAGUGAAGGGAUCGUGAUAGGUCCAUAGAAGGUUGCUGUGGUGAAGAGGUGGCCUAGACUUAUGAUUUCAUCCAAUAUUCGGAGCUUCUUAGGUUUAGCCGGAUAUUACAGACGGUUUGUGGAAAGCUUUUCAUCAAUAGUUGCUCCUUUGACUAAUUUGACUCAGAAGAAGGUUAAUUUUUCUUGAUCAGAUGCUUGUGAAUGGGAGUUUUAAGAAGUUAAAGGAUAAGUUAACUUCGGCUCCAAUUCUGACUUUGUCGGAAGACAGUGAUAGGUUCGUGGUUUAUUACGAUGCAUCUCGGGUAGGUUUUGGUUGUAUGUUGAUGCAGCAUGAGAAGGUGAUUGCCUAUGCUUCCAGACAUUUAAAGGUACAUGAGAGGAAUUAUCCUACUCGUGAUUUGGAGCUAUUGGCGGUUGUGUUUGCUUUGAAAAUAUGAGGGCAUUAUUUGUAUGGUGUCCACGUGGAUAUCUUUUCUGAUCAUAAGAGUCUACAGUAUGUGUUCACCUAGAAAGAGCUUAAUCUCAGGCAAGUAAAUGGCUUGAGCUUCUCAAGGAUUAUGAUAUGAGUCUUUACUAUCACCCACGUAAAGCUAAUAUGGUUAUUGAUGCUCUUAGCAGGUUAUUCAUGGGGAGUUUUGCUCAUGUAGAGGAAAGAAAACGAGAAUUGGUGAAGGAUAUUCACUGCUUGGCUAAUCUUAGAGUUCGUCUCUUAGACUUCAAGGAUGGCGGUGUGGUGGUGAAAGAAGUGGUUAGAUAGUCUCUUGGAGCGAAGAUUAAAGAAAAGCAAGUGUUGGAUUCUAUCUUAAUAAAAAUUAAGAGUGACAUUGGUGGGAAAAAGGUAGUGGUGUUUGAGAUCGGUGGUGCUGGUACUUUACGGUACCACGGGAGGUUAUGUGUUCCUGAUGUCGAUGGGUUGCGACAAAGGAUUUUGGCUGAGGCACAUGAGUCAUGCUAUGUUGUUCAUCUCGGCUUGACUAAGAUGUAUCAUGAUCUCUAAGAGAUCUAUUAGUAAAAAGGUAUGAAGAGGGAUGUGGCUGAUUUUAUGGUCAAGUGUAUGGUGUAUUAACAGGUUAAGGUUGAGCACAUGAGGCCAGGGGGGUUGUAUCAAGAAAUUGAUUUGCCCGAAUGAAAGUGGGAAGUAAUCAACAUGGACUUCGUUACAGGUCUUCCUCAGUCUCAAAGUUAAUAUGAUUCGAUUUGGGUCAUCAUGGAUAGGAUGACUAAGUUUGUGCACUUUUUGCUAGUCCGGCCUACUUUUUCUGUGGAGAAUUAUGUGAAGUUGUAUCUUCAGGAGAUGGUAAAGCUGCAUGGGUACCUGUUUCGAUUAUUUCUGAUUGUGGCACGCAAUUUACAUCUCACUUCUGACGGUCUUUCUAGAAAGGGUUGGGGACUAAGGUGAGUCUGAGUACUGUUUUUCAUCAGCAAGCGGAUGGGUAAGUGGAGAGAACUAAUCAGACAUUGGAGGAUAUGCUUCGAGCCUGUAUGAUUGAUUAUGGUAGAAAUUGGUUUAAGCAUCUACCUUUGGUGGAGUUUGCUUACAACAAUAACUAUCAUUCUUGUAUUGGUAUGGCCUUUUUUGAGGUAUUACAUGGUAGGAGGUGUAGAUCUCCUAUUGGUUGGUUUGAAUUUUGUGAGGCGGACAUGUUUGGUCCCGACUUGGUCUACCAGGCCAUAGAAAAGGUGAAGGUGAUUUGGGAUAGGCUUAAGGCUGCCCAAAGUCGCCAAAAGUCCUAUAUAGGUGUUAGGCGUAGAGACUUGGAGUUUAAAGUUGGGGAUAAGGUUUUCCUCAAGGCAUCUCCCAUGAAGGGAGUAGUGCGGUUUGGCAAGAAGGAAAAGCUCAGUCCCCGAUAUAUUGGUCCUUAUGAGAUUUUACAGAGAGUGGGUAAUGUUGCUUAAGAUCUAAAGUUUUCUUAUAUCUUGAGCUUAGUUCAUCCAGUCUUUCAUGUUUCUAUAUUGAGAAAGUGCAUUGGUGAUCCUUCUUCAGUUAUUCCUUUAGAAUGGUUGGCUCUCACAGAUUCUUUAUCUUAUGAAGAGGUUCCAAUUGAGAUCUUGGAUAGGUAGUUCGUCGAUUAUGGACAAAGGAUGUGGCUUCGGUUAAGGUUCUUUGGUGGAACCAUAAGGUGGAAGAAGCUACAUGGGAAUCAAAAGAGGACAUGAAGUCUAAAUAUUCGCAUUUGUUUUUUGUUCUUGGGAUUCUUGCAGAAGGUAUAUGUAUUCAACACGUCUUUGUUUUCAAAGUUUGUCAAAAGAAAGAUUUAUAUAUUUGCCUCUUUGUUUUUGAACUUUGUUAAAGAUUGGGAAUAUCUUUGAUAAUGCAAAUGACUCUAGCGUAUGGUUACCCUUACCUUGUCCGUCAUUCAGGGAUAAAUGUUCCCCUAGUGGGGAAGACUGAAACACUCUAGUUUUUGAACCUUUGAAAAUUUCUUGAAAUUCUAAUCUUUGAACCCAAUAUGACUCAUGAGUACGAGCCGUAUGUAGGGGUACGGAUGGCAUGGUCCAGUCGUAUACUGACCAGUGUUGGUUGGUGGGAUGGAUUUUGUUUACUAAAAUAGAUACGACUUAGGCGUAUGAGUCGUAUUGGUGGUUACAGAUUAUUUGGUUCCUUAACUUAAUCUUAGACUUGGUUAAUUAGGUUGGAUCUGAGUACAAGUGGCUCACCAUAAGCCGUAAGCCAGGGUACGAAUCGUACCAGGGACUUGUAUGGUAAACAGUGUCCAAUCCUCCUGGUAUUUUAUUCUGCUAGGGAUACGGGUCAUGGAUGAUUCGUAUAAUGGAAAGUGUUUUCAAGGGUUGAGGCUUGGAUACCAAUCGUAUUGGGAGGGUAUGACUCGUAAGGGUCAGUCAUAUCCCUACGAUGGAAUUUUGGGCAACUUAAGUGAGGGUAUUAUAGAUAUUUUCCUACUUAUCCUAUUAGGGUUCCAUGACUUCUAACCUACCUAGAAGGUUAUUUAUCCUAAUAUUCUAUUCAUUAACACUUAGAAACUCUUCCUAAGCACUUCAUAAUUCUCUUAAGAGCUAUUGGGAAAGGAAAGCUAGGGUUUUAACUAGGGGAUUAUCUUGGUGAUUUCUUUCCAUCGUCAUCUUGGUUUAAGGCAUAUUUCUCUCCACUCAUUGUUAAUUUAUUUAAAGGCAUGGUUUAUAUGAAUGUUUUCAUGGCUUUAUGAUUGUAUGGCUUUGGCUUUCAAAUAUGAUUUUAUUUGGGAGGGGGGUUGAUGUUAAUUGCUUGGUUAUGGUUUCUCGUGGUUUUAAUUAUGCUUUUAUAUGCAUUAAUAGUGGUUUUGGAUAAUUGGAUUGAAUGAGAAUGGUUUAUUAGUAAUUGGAAUUGGUUUUGGUUAUAUUAUAUCCCCAAUGUGUUUGACAAAAUGCUUAUAAAGAUAUGUUCAUUGCAUUGACUUUUUUUAAGGGAACUCUUGCAUGUUUUAAACUUGGUAAAAGAACUAUGCAUGUUUUAACUAGUUUUGAAAGGCUAAAGGCUAGGUGCUUAUAGGGAACAUGGAAGUCUCCCAAGUGGUUUAAAACGGUAAAUGGAAAGGCACUUGAAAGUCUCUUUAAACCUAUAAAUGGUUGGCUAUGGAUGAUACUUGCAAGUAAGGGUUGGUAUGACGAUACCAAUAUCAAUUGCCUUGAUUAAUAAAUGGAUAAUGGUUUGGUUAUUUGGAAAUUGAUUUUAAUUGGGCAAUAAUGGUGGUAUGUAUAGCAAAGCCGUGGAAGGUGGAGGUAUCGAGGGGACCGAAACUAGAAACUCAUACUUACUGAUAUGAGGUUGGUCUUGGUGACUGUGUGCAAGAUGUCACACUUUGUUUUUAGGAUGUACUAGUCAUCCCAUGGGAUACUUCGUUGGUCAUGCGUCUACACACACUCGGGCUCUUUCAAUAGGGGGAGUUGAACCCAUAUAGCCUAUGGGUGGUUUAAGACAGCAAAGCUACACAACCCAGGUAAAGGUUUUAAAAGCAGUCUAAAACCGGGACCAAAACUAGAAACUCAUACUUGUCGAUAUGAGGUUGGUCUUGGUGACCGUGUGCAAGAUAUCGCACUUUUUCUUGGGGAUGUACUAGUCAUACCAUGGGAUACUUCCCUGGUCACGCACUGGGGCCCUUUCAGCAGGGAAAGUUGAACCCAUAUAGCCCGUGGGUGGUUUAGGAUGGCAAAGCUACACAACCCAGGUAAAGGUUUUAAAAGCAUGCUAAACUCGGUCCCAUUUUCCGGCAUGGAUAUAUAUAUAUGUGUGUGUGUGUGUGCGUGUGUGUGUGUAUAUGAUUGUAUGCAUCAUGGAUGGUUUUACUUGGUUUUAUAAAUGGCAUUAUUUUAUCCUUACCCUGAGAUCAUACUAGUAGUCACUCGUUAACCCUGGCAGUUGUAUACGCACGCUAUACAAGAACCAACCGUUCUACUCCAUCUCGUACAUAGUGAUUAACUCGGGGACAGUAUUUGGACUGAAAUAGUGAGCUUCUAUCCUUUCGAAAGACAUUAUUUCAUGUUAUGAUAUUUUUAGACAUUUUGACUUUAUUUUAGAUAUUGGUUUUGGCUAUAAUUGGAGGCAUGUCCAAAUCAGAUUUGAUUAUUCUUUUGGAUAGAGGCUUUGUGGUACUUCUAUGGGUUGAAAUGGGUAGGAUCGGUAUUGGUGUUGGCUUUGGCAUUGGAAUAAGCCGGUGGGCUGACAUCAUAGGACGAUAUUAUUGUUUGUUCCAUCCUAUUACAUUUUGGGAUUAAUUAUAUUAUGUUUUGGAACAUCCUUGGUUAUGGUCUGGUUUAUGGCAUUUGUUUGGUAAUGUUUGGUAAGGUUGGACUAUUGGUAUGGAAGGGGUGCACUAAGUUGGGUUGGUCACGGUUGUGAUCUAUUCCCAGAGUCCUUAUGUGAGCUGUUACACUAUUUUGUUACAUGCUUGUAAUUCAGCUAACUUAGGGAAGGUGGCUAGAGGUUGGGUUGGGUAACGGGGGUGGUCUCCUAUCUUGGUUGGACUUGGGAUGCCUAUUAUGACAAGGCCCCAGGGCAGGUAGUGUUAGAAAUUCAAAAAUAGAGGUCCAUUUCUUCAUCAAAAGUGGCAUCCCAUUCAUAUAGUAUGGUCCACAAGACAAGAUAUUAACCUUGUCCUAAGUAUGUUUAAAUUUGUCAAUGUAGAACCCUUUCUCAUGAUAGAACAACUCAUGCAUUGAUACAGUAUUCCAAACUUUAGCUAUAUAUGAUUUCAAAUAUGCAUAACUAGGAGCCUCUCCCAUAGUGUACAAGAUCAAAGCACUACUCUAUUCAUUCAUAUAAUAUGUUACAUCUUCUUUUUUCUAAUGUAACAGUUAUUUUUCUAUCAAUCACCAUUGGAGCAACAUAAGUGAGAGACAUACCAUGUGCUGCAGUACGAUUUUGUGUAAAUAAGCUUACCCAAUUUGCCUCUACACCUGUCCCUUUCUGCUUUAGCUGAGAUCUCUCUGGUAUAGAGCUUACUGGCCUUGGAUUCAUAAAAUUACUCAAACUUUCUUCUUCCUGAGCUUUGCUAGACGCUGUUUGCUUUCCUUUGUCACUCAGGUGUAUCAGAUCUGCAUCAUCCUCUUAUAAUGUCAACUCAGUUACAGUUUUAUUAGUUACUAUAAUCUUACUUGCUUCGAAUUCAUCCACUUCUUCCUCUAAGUCUCGAAUUGGUGCAUCGUCCUCCGCAUCCUUAGUUUCUUCCUAACCUCAAUCUCCUUCUUCUGUGGUCGAGCUCUGAUACGCCCAAAUUACACCUCUCUUAUGAGAGAGUAAGCGAUUGCUGUUAAAUAUAGAACCCAACUGGGUUGGGUGUUGAAUCCCACAGAGAAUACCAUGUUUACUAAGUAUUGUGAAUAUUAUUAGACUGUUGAUCUAAGGUUCCUGAGUAGAAGGGAGUUUGAAUGUGUUAACAAUGUUCUUUUGUAUUUGUGUCACACAAAAGUCCAGCUACUGAGAGUUAAUGUAGAUGUAAUUUCAAUGAGAAUGAAUUAACUAGAGUUAUGCUCACUAAGAUAUUCAAACAAUUAGGGUUGUGAGUUUGUGUUUGAAUUCUAACUUAUGUAUUCAAUUGCAAGAAUUAUUGAAUUCUAAGGAUUACCCACGUGUUUCUCAACCUAAUGAGUAUUUCACCCUUUACUUCUCUCGAACUUAAAGGAUUCAUGCAUUAUUUAAUAACACUCUCAUGAGGGUUGAUCCUGUUAAGGCAUCAACCCAUUAACCCCAAAGGAUAAACCUUUGGAGUUCAUGUGAAUCACUUUUUUCCCAACAUCCACUUUCUUGUCAGACAAGUGGAGUUCAUGGGCUCACUUCUCAAGUUUGCAACAAGAGAUGUCAUUAUAAUGAAGAAAGAUUCUUGCAAUUUCGAUAGAUGUUAGAAAUCAAACCAAUUCACAACCCCAAAAUAGUUCUCUACAUCAAGGCUCCCAUAACCCUAGUUAUGAGAGUUUAGCUACUUAUCUCCAUCUAAGAAAUCAAAGAUAUUUUGAUGUUCAUAAAUGACUUCAAUAGGGCACUUACAAAAGUCACAAUAUUGUUCUUCUCAAUCUUCAAUGGAAAAUAUAAAAACUAAUAAUCAAAUCUCAAUCUCUAGAUUCAAAUCUCAAUGAAAAGUGUUACACAACUGUCAAUAGAGGAGAAAGUAUGAAACUAAUGAUAUAGGAUACGGACUAAACCUUAAUACUUAGUAUUUAUAUAAUUUCAAAACUGGGGUUUUAAAAUUCAAACUCAGAUUUUUUGCUUUAUGGUCGACGGGUUAAGCUACGGUUCGUCGCAGGUCCGAUGGUCCGUCACCUGCACCGUCGCUGGGUCUCCAGUGACUUCAUUCUCUGCUUCUGGGAGACGGGUAGUGCGACGGCCCUUCACAAGGUCGACGGUCUAUCACCUGGAUCGUCGCAGGGCUUCCAGUGAUUAUGCGUUCUGUAUCUUGGCAACAGUUCAUCGCAGAGCCGACGGUCUGUCACCUGGACCGUCGCAGGAUGUUCAAAUUCUAUGACAUCUGAUUUUGGUUGAUGGUUUAGACCGACGGAUCAUCGCAAGGUGACGGUCCGUCACCUAAGCCAUCGCUGCUCAUGUUACCUCUGUUUUGCUCAGAUUGUCCAAGUUAUCUUUCACACUCAGUUCUUAUCCUGAAAGCACUAAAAUACCAUGUUAAAUACAACAAUGGCUGCUUGAAAACACACAAUUAUCCUAAGAAAAAGACCUAAAAUGUUCUAUCAAAACCCAGAACAUCAAACUCGUCCUCAUCUCGCCAUCGAUGCGCACGUUAGCAAGAAGGGAUAAACAUGUGUUGGGAGAAAAGAAUUUUUCUAAUUCAAAUUAACUUUUAAAUUAGUUGAAUUGGCGAAUCAAAAUUAGUUGAACUAAUAUUAUUUGGUUUUGCUAGUUAGAGGAGCAGACAAGAUGCACUUUUAUCAACCCUAAUUUUAAAUUAAAAGUCCAUCUGGUCAUGAAAUUUUUUUACCUUUUUCUGAAGUUGUGGAAACACAUUUACCCAUUAAAUUUUUAAAAAUUUUGCUAUUACUUUUUCACCUAAAUAAUCCAUAAUAAAAAAAAAACUCUAAUUCAUUUCAUCAUUAAACAUAACUCUAAUUUCUAAAUAUCAUUUUUCAUUUUACAAAUAAUUUUUUUUUAUUUUUACAAUGAAACAUGGUCACACACCUAGUAAAUAUUUUUUAUAAAUUAAAAGUGUACUUAAAUAGCACAUAUAAAUCGGCUACCGAGUGUACUUCCUAAAAAUGAAAUGGAAGAGAAAAUAAGCAGAAAAUUUCAUGUAUGACUCCCAUAGUUGGUUGCUUUAUUUUUUUGUCCCCUAUAAUAAAAGUCUUUAAUGACUAGCCUUCUUUCUUUUUAUAUAUAGAAUGAGUACAUUUUUAUCCUUCUACAUCACAAAAUAUUUUUACACUUUUCAUACUCAUUUGUCUCUCAACUUUAAUUUUUAUUUUUAUUUUUAUUUAUUUUUAAUUUCUUUCUUAAUUUUUUUUCAUAUUUUAAUUUAUUUGUCUCAACCUUUAUUUUUUUUCUCAAAUAUUAUUUAUUUUUUUUUUAUUUUUUUUAAUUCAUUUGUCUCAAUCUUUAUUUUUUUUAAUCUUUUGUGUUUAUCUUUUCUCAUUUUUUUUCUCAAACUUUAUUUUUAUUUUUUUCUUCUCAACUUUGUUUUUCUCAAUCUUUUUUUUAUUAUUAUUUUUUUUAUUCUUCUCUUUCUUCUUUUUUCUUUUUUCUUUUUUCUUAACCUUUUUUUUUUCAUUUUUUUUUCUCUAUCUUUAUUUUUUUUUCUUUCAUCUAUUUUUCUUAUCUUUUUAUUUUUUGUCUACUUCUAUUAUAUUUUACUAAUAAACAAAAAUUGGAUAAUUGCCUCUAAAAAAAAAUAUAGAACAUUUCAUAAAUCGACACAAUAUGAUAGUGUCAACACUUAGCCAUGGAGCGUAACUUGUUGUUUGAAGUCCUUUACCUGAGUCUUGCUUCUGAGGCAAGAGUUAUAUAACAUCUCAUAAAUCAAAAUAUAAUGUGAUAGUAUCAAAUCUUGUCCAUGGAGUGUAACUUAUUGUUUGAAAGUCUUUGGGCUAAGUAUUGCCUUUAAGGCAAGAGUUAUAGAGCAUAUCAUAAAUUAAAAUAUAAUGUGUUAGUGUCAACUCUUACUCAUGGGGCAUAGCUUAUUGUUUGAAAGAUAUCAAUGAAAAAAAUAGAAAAUAGAAAAUAAUACAAGUUGAGGAAAAUAAUAAUAAUAAUUUUUUUAAGAAAGGAAAAAAUAAAAAUUAGAGAAAAUAAAAAAGAGAAAAAAAAAGAGCUGAGAGGAGAAAAGGGAGAAAAUGCAAGUUGAGAAAAAAAGAAAAAAACAGAGAAAGAAAGGAUAAAAAAUAAAAAAAUAAAUAAAGUUGAGAAAAAUAUAAACCAACAAAGUAUAAAAAGGAGAAAGAAAUAUUAAAAAAAUAGAAGUUGAAGGAGAAAAGGAAAAAAAAGUAAAGAUUGAGAAAGCAUUAAAAAAAGAGAAAAAAAUAAAAAUCAAUGUAAAAUAAAUAUUUUUCAUAUAUAUGUUGGAACGGAUGCAAAAUCUUUCUUGAGAGCUAAUUGAAUGUAUAACUGAUGUCUUGCGUUAAUUUUAUAUAUAUAUCAAAUAAAAAACUAAUAAUACAGACAAAAAAUAUAUUUUUUUAGUACACUCUACCAAACGAUCCCUAAAUUCACCCACUAUAGCUGUCAUUUUUAUAGUUUUGCCAAACUAACUGUGGGUGGUGGGUCACUCAAACCCAGUGGCCCAAUACUUUGAAUUUGAAUACUUUAUUAAAACGGAGACCGCCCUUUGAGAAUUUGAAUUUGAAUAACUAAUCUCAAAACCCACUUUUUCUUCCAACGGAUACAGAGUGAGCGAGAGUGUGUGCGUGUGUUACAAAGGGUAAAAAACAUUUUUGAAUUUUGGAGUUUGAUCUUCACCUAAGGUUCGUAAAUCUUAUUCUUCAACCAGCGGAAAUUAUCAAAGGUAUUUGUGUAAAUAGAUAUAAUCCAUGUAAUCCUUCUUGUUCUUUCUUCUAUGCAACUACAUAAUUCUUUGACUUCUUUUUUGUGUUUUUUAGUCCAUUUUCGUUUAAAAAGGAAAAAUUGGGGUGGUGAAAGUGGAUGCCAAGGUUUAGGGUAGUAGGUUAGUAGAUAGUAGUGUGUUGUCUUGUUAUCUGUUCUUAUACUAGUAUUUGUAGUAUUGCUCAUAUACUAGUAUUGUUUCGUGUACUUCAAUUAUUGUACUAGUUUGCUUUAUUUUGCUUUCACUUUCGGUAAUUUUUUAUUUUGAUUGCUUUGAAUUGUUUUUUUCUUGAGCCAAGGGUCUACCGAAAAACAACCUCCCUGGGUAAAGUUUGCAUACACUCGAACCUCUCUAAACUCCACUUUAUGGGAGUACACGGUAUGUUCGUUGUUGGGGUAGGUAAAGUGGAAAUGAGGUGGGGCAUGGGGGGAUUAUAAGGUGGGAACUCGAAACCUCACCAAAAAAGUUUAAGUUGAGUUAGUCAACCAACUCAUCUACUAAAAUCACACCCUUUUUUUUUCUGAAAAAAUAAAAAUUGGGGGUAGGAGAAAGGGGAAGGGGAUUACAAGGUAGAAAAUCGACCUCACCGGUAAGAUGAAAGUUCAGGAAGCAAAUCCACUAAGCUACUAAGAUUUCUCCCAUUUUUGGAUUUACUUUUGUUGUAAGUAUUAUUUUAAAAAAAAAAAAAAAAAACUUAAUGAUCUUAGUCAUUCUUACUCUAAAUUUGAUUAUUCUUACCAGAAAAGAGGAGGAUUUAAGUUGUAUUAUCACAUAUCUAUUCGUACUGUGUUCUUAGGUAAGAGCUCCUAGUCAGGAGAGUUUGGGUGUGGAGGGUGUCUCUGGCCUGUGAGUGUCUGUUACUACUAGGUGGGUGUCGUUUUUCGGAUGCCCUAUUUCUUAUCUCUUAUUGCACAUUGCACUUGGUUACCUUAUCUCAUAUUGCUUUGAUUUAUAUUUAUGUCUUAAUCCUUUUUAUUUGAUGUUAUCCAUCUUACUUCAUGUUUCAUUACGCUUUUGUUUAUUAUUCCUUAUCUUGAGCCGGGGGUCUAUCGGAAACAACCUCUCUACUUCUUUGGAGGUAGCGGUAUGAACUGAGUACACUUUACUCUUCCCAAACCCCAACUUGUGGGAAUACACUGGAUUUGUUGUUGUUAUUGUUGUUGUAUCACAUAUGUAUUAGUAGUUUUAAAGCAUAAUGUCAGCGAAUAGAACUUGAAGCCUAAUUUAAAUGGAUGGUUAAGUUAGGAAUUUGGUAUAAUAUUGAUUAAAGGGAACGUUUUGGUAUUAAUGGAGCUGAGUUCUUUCUGGAAUUGAUGAGUUUUUUGUAUUAAAUAGUUAAAAUUCCUCAAUUUCUGAGGUGCUUAACUGAUAAUUACCUAACUAAAUGAAGUUAUCAGUUUUAGAAAAAUAAUAAUAAUUACAUAACUAAAUAAGGGCUUUUCUCAAAAAACUUAUUCACAUUCUUGGGUAGGUGCUUAACCACUUUCAGAUACGCAAGAUCGAUAAACAAAGAUUAAAAGAAAAGGGAUAUAUCCCCAUGAUAAUGAAUUAUUCAUAGAACAAGUCAAAGUGUACAACAACAACAUACCCAGUGAAAUCCCACAAGUGGGGUUUGGGGAGGGUGGAUUGUCGGCAGAUUUAUCCUCUCAGAUCACUCUGCCUGUGUGAGCUCGUUCACAUUAUCGGUCCGAAGCCUGGAUAAAGGAUGAGGGUUGCCUACGGUCUAUCAGAAACAAGCCACUCUAUCCAAUAAAGGGUAGGGGGUAAGGCUGCUUGCAUCUUACCCUCUUCAGACCCCAGUUGUGACCUAUGGGAUUACACUGAGAUUUUUGUUGUUGUUGUUGAUUUAUGCUCUCAGUUGCAAAACCUUGAAUGAGUUCAAACUUUUUCUUAAUGUUCCUUACAGAGGUAGAUGAGUUGUUCCAUAAAAAGAAGAAACAUUUGUUCAAAAUAUUAAUCUGGGAUGCUGUUUAUUGAAAAAGUUAGUACUUUGUUCGACAAGACUACAAUUUUAAAAUGCUGAUGUCAUUUAUUUUAUUGUUGUUAAAUAAACAGGUUCUGUUGUCCCCCGGCAUUAAUAUGCAAAUGGAUGGUCUUAAAACAUGUCAAACAGAAAACUAUUCAACUCCUGGGAAAGUACAGCAGCUAGAAUCCUCUGUGGUCGCGAAAGUUAGAGUUAUUGUUAGAGUUCGCCCCUUUCUUCCUCGAGAAAGAAACUCUAUAGAUGGAAAAACAAUCUCUUGUGUUUCUGUUCUCAACUCAGAAUGUCAGUCUUCUGAUGAUGUUACAGUUCAUCUCAAAGAUCAUGAAACUAGGUAAUUUUUUCCUCAAUUGUUGGCAUGUUCUAAGAUUAAAUCUGUCACCAGAACCUUAUCCUGGGUACCCUUUUGUUUUUGACUGUAGUCGUAAUGAAUGCUACAAGUUGGAUGCCUUCUUUGGUCAAGAAGAUAACAAUAUAAGUCAAAUAUUUAGCAAAGAAAUCAGUCCUUUGAUCCCUGGGAUAUUAGAAGGCCGCAAUGUCACGGUAUUUGCUUAUGGUGCUACAGGGAGUGGCAAAACUUACACCAUGCAGGUAUGUUUUAUUUGUCUGCAUAACACACAAUUUGCUUCAUCACUCCUGCAAUUGGAUUAGAUGCUAAAAUAUACACGCGGAGUAGGAGACAUAGAGUUUUAAGUUAUAAUGGACUCAAUGUUUCUUUUCAAGUCUUCCGCUGUUCUACAACUUCUGUAACAUAGAUCCACGAGUGAUCAAAGGACAUAUUGGACUUUUCAGAUUGCAACCAUGCAUAAGCUUAGCCCAUAUAUGCAGCCAUUUGGCCUUAACCUAAAACUUUUCCAUUUGACCUCUUCAAAGAUAUGUAUGUCAAGUAUAUAGUUCCCUUCAGGCCUUCCUAAUUCCUGGAUGUGCAUGUGAAUUGUUUUGAAAAACCUUGUUGCUGAUGCAGGGAUCUGAAAAUCUCCCUGGUCUAAUGCCACUUGCAAUGUCCUCUAUUCUCUCGAAGAUUCCAGGGAAAAGUACCAUAACCAUUUCAUACUAUGAAAUAUACAUGGAUAGGUGCUAUGAUCUACUUGAACUUAAGGAGAAGGAAAUCUUGAUAUUGGACGACAAAGAUGGGCAGAUUCAUCUCAAAGGCCUUGCACAAGUUGCCAUUAGUUCAACGUCAGAGUUUCAAGAAGCAUUUUCCUGUGCAGUUCAGAGGAGAAAGGUUGCACAUACGGGUGUUAAUGAUGUCUCCAGCAGGAGUCAUGCAGUGCUCACAAUUUAUGUUUCUACUCCAAGCUGUGAUGAUACUGGAAAUGUCAUCACUGGGAAGUUGAACCUUAUUGACUUGGCAGGUCUUAAAAAUUUACUAAACCUAACCAUGAAUUGUUGUAAGAAUAUUGAACUGAAAAGUAACUCACAUGCUGUAACUCUAAUGUCACUGAAUUAGGAAACGAAGACAAUAGACGAACUUGCAACACUGGAAUUCGUCUACAAGAGAGUGCUAAGAUCAACCAGUCCUUAUUUGCACUGUCAAAUGUGAUUUAUGCAUUGAACAACAAUCAACCACGAAUACCUUAUAGAGAAAGCAAAUUGACAAGGGUAUUGCAAGACUCUCUUGGAGGAACAAGCCGUGCUUUGAUGAUUGCUUGCUUGGUAGGAUAUUGUAUACAUCAUCUCUUGCCUUUGAGUUCCAUGAAUGCAACACUGUUCUUAAGAUUGCCAACUAUUUUCAUUUGUUCAUAGAACCCUGGAGAGUACCAAGAAUCUCUUCAUACAGUUAGCCUGGCAGCCAGGUCAAGACAUAUAUCCAAUUUUGUUGCCUCAGCACAAAAAGGAGAUACUCCAAAGGUCAAAGUAGACAUGGAGGCAAAGCUUCGUGCAUGGCUAGAAUCUAAAGGCAAGACAAAAAGUACUCAGAGAAUUGGGGCAUUUGAUUCUCCAUUUACAAGCAAAACUCCAAGUUCCGUAGGUUCUACUAGGAAGCUAGGUUUGUUUGGGAGCUCCUCCAAGCAAAAAUCUAUCAGUAAUCAAGGCGCUUCAAGCAUAAAAAAGAAGUAAGAGAUUACUCUAUGAUCUUGCUUAUUUCUCUAUUACUCUAUUAUCUUGCUGGAUUUACCUGCCUUUGAUUUUGAUGAUUGCUUAACUGUGUUGAACAGGGAUCCAGAUGGAGCUUGUAGAAAUUUAUUUAAAAAUGGACAUCGAUCAAACUUAGUAGUGGAGGUAAAAAAAAAUGAGAACUAUAAUUUCUUCCUAGCUCGUUUUGAGUUUAUGAUGAAGCUAUUUGCUUUAAAUUGAAUAAAAUUCAUUUACGACAGACUCUAUUCAUUGUAGGUCUUUUUUUAAACUUAGCUACUGUAUAUGUGAUUUGAUUUUGAAUGAAAAUGAACCGGUAACCAUGAAACUUCAGUAUAGGAUUACUCAACUUUGUGUUGAUGUAACUAAUGUCUGAUAGCUUGAUAAGCUCUCAAAGGAAACAACAAUUCCUAAAUUUUGGUCAUCCUUAUCACAAAGAAAAUCACUCAGUUUGGUAUGUGAUAAUUAAUAGCUAAGAAGAAUUUUAAUAUAAUCUUUUGAAAGGACAACAGAACAAUUUGACCACACUUUUCAUUAUGGAAGAAUUGGAUUUAAUUAAUAAAUCGUUUUAAGUUGGAUUUCUGCAUUGACGUGCAAAUGCAGGCUUGGGACCUUGCUGAUACUGGUGGACAAAGAGGAGCGAAGAAAUUUGAAGUUUUCUCUGAAAGGGUUGUGCCUGAUUCUAAUACAGCAGUAAAUGGUACUUUUUUAAAAAAAAUUUCUAACCCAGCCUUCAUUGAUCAUUGAUGUGCAAAAAGUUAGAAGUUAAGUCUGGCAUCUCAAACUGUAUACAAGAUCAUUGAGAUGAGGCUAAUAUAGAAGUGUUAAUCCUACCCAAAAAAAGCCUAAGAGGCCAAGGACUCUAAGGGGGGGUCGUAUACAAUGUCGUUAUCCGUAACGUCUUUGGUUCUUAGGGACGGGAUACCCAUCUAUCCAAGUUGGUAGGACCUUUCACUUCGAGGGGCAAGACAGCGAAGGAGUUGAAAAUUUGAAUCUCACUACUUCUAUGACUCAAAUAGGAGAGCUUGUCAGCGGGCUUAUUAGCCUCUCUAAAGCAAUGAGUAAUAUGGGAGUCACUAUCUUCAACUAGUUUCUGAAUAUCAUCAACAAUUCUAGUUGUCUUCCACGGAGUCUUCCAAACUUCUUUAUGCAAUUCGGUAGAAGAAGAGAGUCAGUUUCUCCCCAAACAGGUCUGGGGUCAUUAUUCAAGCACCACCUCAAGCCAAAUAACAUAGCAGCAGCUUCGACAUAGUUGCUGGAACCUGGGCCUAAUGGUAUCACGUAGGCAAAAACAAUCUUUCCUGCGCUAUCUCUUACCAUUCCACCUUCCCCACAAUUUCCAUUAAUACAACUUCCAUCACUGUUGAGUUUUAACAAAUUCACUUGAGGUCUAAUCCACUUGACGAUGGUAGCUUUUGUUUGAUGUAUAUCUCGAUCACAGGCCUGGCGGAUUGUGUUCCGAGUGUCUCCAAUCCUCGCACUCUCAAAUCUCUUCCUCAAUAACUGCAAAAGUUUGAAUAAUGCAUUAGAGGAGGAUUGGUAUAAUGAAGGUCUUUCUCCUUCAUAUUUAUUAGGACAUCUGGCGUGAGAUUGGUAUAAUGAAGGUCUUUCUCCUUCAUAUUUGUUAGGACAUCUAGCAAGCCAGAUUUCCCAACAAAUAAAUGCAGGAAUAAUUUUCAUUAUAGUGAGCAAAAUGGGUUCUUGGUUUUGUGGUUCCACCAAUUGAGAAGGGUGAACUUCAAAUUGGGGUCACUCGUGCUUAUCCAUAGAGGACCUGCAAAAAAUGACCAUAACCAUAUCUCAGUUUUUGCAGUCUGCUUCAUGUAUUCUUCAUAUUAUUCUAUGUAGCUUACUCAUAUUAAGCUAACAAGCACGUGACACUCUCCAACUAUAUAUGUGCCAAAGCUAGUUCUAGUGUUCUCUAUUAAUUCUUGCAACAUCUAGACACUUUUUCAAUGAUGUUGGUGCCAAAGCUAGUCCUCUAUUUUUCUAUCGAUGUUCUCAUAGAGAGUCAUUGAAUAGCUAGUUUAUUAGCAAACUUUCGCUGAUAUACCUAAAACGUUUGAUCUAUCUGACCUGGCUUAUUUUCAUGGUAUUAGGUGUUCGUUGAGUUUCUUACUUUUUAAUAUAAGAUUGCACAUCCCUUUGCGUGACUUGUUAUAAUUAAAUUUUCAUUUUUCUUGAACUUGCUCCGUUUUAGAUUAGCCAAUCUCAGGCGGCCCAUUUCACAAAGAUUUUAAUUAGCCGAUCCCACUGAGCUCCCGGUGUGCUUUCCCCCUCUUUAAAGUAGUUUAAGGGUCGUUACAAAAUCAUUUUCCCCCUCCACUAUAAAAUUGAACCUGAAAAUAGCUCUCAUCUUCGUGUUCUUUCACUUAAACUAGGAGGCAUUCAUACUACUAUCACAUCCCUAACCCCAUAAGCCAUUUAAACCAAUGUCUAAAUCUUUUCAUUUACAUAUGUAACUCAGUUGGAGUUUAUUUGUCUCAUCUUCUCUAUUUGCAGAUAGCUGUGAAAAUUCGUACUUGUUAAAAAUUUUCAAUAUGUAAAUAUAAUAUAUCUUGCAUACCAGCAUUCAAACAAAAUUUGAAGAUUUUUGUCUGUUUGGUCCUCGUGUAGAUGUACAAACCAAUGCAGAGGAGAAAGUGACCAUCGUUGAUUGUUUCAACUCCCUUGGAGCAUGUGAGGUUACUCCUAGGAAUGUCCUUUCUCCCAUCAACUCCAACAUCAACAAUGAGAAUUUGUUAGCGAAGGAUCAAACACACCUCAUCUGCAAUCAGCAGACUCCCAUGUCAUCCUUUGCUUUAAGCAGUUUUGAUGAGAAUAUACCAGCAUUAGGAACUCCACUGGAUAAAUUCAGUGCACGAAGUUCUAACUUAAAGGUGAGAAGGGACUCCUGUUGUCGUUAUAUUCUGAUCUAAGUUGCUCGGGCUCUCCAAAUAUGUUGCCACACCAGUAUCAGAUUCUUCAAAAAUACACUAUUCUCGAAGGAUCCGAGAUGCACCCGUCAACAUUUUUGGAGUCCUAUAAACAUAGAUUCUGAUUGUUUAGCAUUUCUGGUUAUAAUAAUUAUCUCUGUUGAGUAUACAGAACUCUCUUGUCCAAGAGUACAUUGAGUUAUUGAACACAGCCAGCAAGUGAGUGUUAUUCUCUGUCUUCAUUUCCCUUUUACGUUUUCCAUUUCUUCUUUCUUCAUGGAGAAUUAACUUUGUUGUGUUACAUUACAUUGUGUUAGGGAGGAACUCAUGGCGAUAAACGUACGCUAUUGAUCUCUUCACUCUAUUCUAACAUUGUCAUCACUAUAUCAGCAAUGAGUUUUGAGUGCAUUUUCACAUGAUUCUAACGUUGUCAUCGCUUAUAGUUACUGUAACCUUGACUGCAUCUUUCAUAUCAUCCAGGGGAUUGGACAAAAGAUGGCUGAAUACAUUAUUGAUCUAAGGGAAACAAGUCCCAUGAGAUCAGUAAGAAACUCUUUCUUAAGGUCUAUGACGUUGCAUAUUCUUGGUUUAGGACUGAAUAAAACUAAACCUACUUACCUGAUUUGUGCAGCUAGAUGACUUGGAGAAGAUUGGACUGACAUCAAAGCAGGUAAUGCUGUGCAAUGUAUCAUUUGCAUUUCCAUUUUACUUUCUUAGUGUCAUUGCAGUAUAUGCAGCGUUUCUAUAGAGUAAAUGUGAGUUUAUGGAGUAAUAAUGAAGUGUUUUGCCGAUACCCCUAUAGGUUCAUAACUUAUUCAGGUGGGCUGCGAGAGGAGUACUGGGAUGAAAAACUUCUCUGCAACACCUUGUUUUAGGGACAUGUAGAUGAAACAUUGUGUUUCUGGCUAGAACUUCAGUUGUAUUGUAGUAUUAUUUAUGAGUAAUUGGAUUUGAGAGCUUGUAUUAAUUACCUUUCACCCCCCUCAAAUGACGGUUCUCAGUCCCUGUUGUACCAAUUCCAAUCAUAGAUUGUUCAGAAUUUCAGCAGUUCAUAGUUAUUACUCGUUUAUUGAGUUGCAGCUAUCACCAGAUUUCUCCAACUUGUACGUUCCAGAGAAAAAUUGACGCAAAGGCUAGUUUAGAACAAUGUCAUCUAGUUAUUUUCGUGCUGUUGCAGCCUCAAUACAAUUCUGACCGUCCUUUCUCUUCUUUUACGUGCAACCCUUGAUGUUUUAAUCCUUUGCUCCUUCCUUUUCUUGCUCUAUUGCGUUAUUGAAUAGCCUCUGAACCACCCCAUUAUUAGCAGCGUUCCUUAGGGAGAGGUGUCUAAACUAAUACUUAUUUUUCAGACUUAACAGGAUGGACCAUUGCAAUAGUUAUCGAUUUGGCAUUCAGAUAUAUCCCCCAUCUCUUAAAUUCAUCUUAGUUUAAUUCAAAAAAAUAGUAAUCUAAACCUUCUUCAGAGACGCAUAAUAUCACAGCCACCUCACUUUUUGAGUCGACAAUGGCCUUAAGGUGGGUGGCACCACCCUCCACACAAGCACCGCCUGGUGAAGGGGUAGUGAGGAAAGCUAUAGACCCAAAACCUUCUAACUUCCUUUCUAAAUGGGAGUGCCCAAGGCCACCCUCAUCUUCUAAUUUCAUAGUUGCUUAUUCCCAUUAGGCCAGAGUACACACCAACCAUUACAGCCCAAAGAAAUAGAAUGAAUAGUUUUCAGUUCAAAAAGCAAAAUAGAGAGAGGAAUCAAACUGCACUAUUUUCUCAAUAAGUGAACAGAUAAAGGAUCAGAUACCUGCACGAUAACGAAUACUCACACAUCUAACAAGAUUAGCAAAGAAUCUAAAACGAAUGAACUGUCACUACCACUAAUCAGUUCUUGAUAUUUGUGUUGGAUUUAUUAAAAAAACCAACAAUCACACAAAAAAUGGUAUAUUAGGCAUAUACCAGAUAAGGAAAAUAAUCACUUUUUCAUGAGAUUUACUAAUCCUGAAACUAUUUUACUCCCAACUGUACUAAAAUGGUGAAAGUGGGAUAAUAUAGUCGCAUGAGAUAUCCAUACUUAUUCCAUCUCGGGUAAGAAACGACAAGGUUAUAAUGAACAGACAGAAGCACAAGGAAAUGGAAGAGUUUAGGGAAAUAUUACCAAGGAAGUUCUUAAAUUAGCUGAAAGCACAACAUACUUCCAAACUAGUAUGUUAAAAUUACCAGAUGCAGAGAAUGCUCAUGUUACACAAACACCACAUUACCACUACUUACAAACAUGUUUCAAUACUCCAUUACUAUUUCUUAUUACAGGGAAAAAAAGAACAACACAAUCUUUUUCCCUGUUGCAACAGACACACAAACUAUUAAACUACACACAUAUUAAACCAUGAACUCUGCUCUGUUAUAAUAGCUUAGUUUAUUCACUUGUUACAAGUGCAAGGGUUGCACUUGCAGUCAGAUCCACAUUUGCAUCCAUUCUCAGCAGGGGAUUCCCCCAUCUCCAUGGCUCCAAAGCUUGUCUUCUCAGGUCCCACCCCGAGCACCAAAGUCUCGGUGGUUGUCAUGCUCUCGGUGAAGCUCAUGUCGGGGUACAUCUUGCAUCUGCAAAUACGAAACUCAUAAAUUACUCUCAAAAGAUCAGAAACAAGAAAUUGCUAAUAAUCAACCCUAAAUCCUCCUACCCCACAUACGCAAGAAAAUAUCCCAAACGAAACCACCCCACAACAACGGCAUACCGCCCACUAUGUGCAGUGUGGUAGGGUAGGGGAGGUGGUUUCCGACAAACCUCAGCUUAAGGAGAAAUAGUCCUACACCGUCCCAAAAGAAGCAACAAAAGUAGUACAAACAACAAAUAAAAAAAAAAAUAACACACAGUAAUAGAACAAAAAAUAUGGCAUAAUGAUGGAAAUAAUGAUAUCCUUUCAAAAGGUAUAUCUUCCCCUCUCCUAAUUAACCAAGUUUCCAUUCUCUACAAAAUCUAGAUAUUAACAAUUUCAGUUGUGAACUCACUACUCCCUCCAUUCCCAUUUAAUUGCUUCCUUCUCAUUUUUGACCAAUAUCUCGAGAAAUAUUUCUUAAUCAAAUUGAAGAAAAGUAAAAUUGCAAUUUAUAGUACUUUUCAAUUCACGUAGUUUUUGGGAUAUCUAAAUUUUAAUUUUAAAAAUUAAAUUAAAAGGACAUAGCCUGGAUGUAAAAAUGAAAGAUACCCAUGCAUGGAUCAACAGAAUAGGGGUAAAAAAAGACCAGUAUUGUAUUGAGCAAAAUAUUGAUGAAAAAGUAAAAGUAACCAAAAAAUUAGAAACCACCCAACAAUCGCGGAUUUCUUUUUUAUUUCUAUUUUUUAAAAUCAAUCCUUCACACAAAAGGCAUGGGGAUGGAUACUUUUUUAGGAGCAUUUCACUUAAAUAAGUUUUACAAAAUAUACCAAUUCAAAACAGGCUGAGAAAAAUUGAAAAAAAUAGUAAGACGAAAACAACAAAAAAAAAAAAAAAAAAAAAAAAAAAAAAAAAAAAAUAACAACAGAAGAAAAAGUCUUACCCUCCACAGCCAUUGCCGCACUUGCAGCCAGAUCCACAACCGCAGUUUCCUCCACAGCAAGACAUCUUUGUAUGAGAUUGAUUGAUGAGAAUUCACACACACACAAAAACACACAAAACUAAGAAAUGCAAAUGAAAUUUUGAUUAAUGGGGAACGAGUAUUCAGGAACAAUCAUGAGUGUCCAUUUAUAGGAAAAUGGAGGUGAAGGGAGGGGUGUUAUCCACCGUACACGUGUCGUGAUCUUGAGACACCUUGUAAGUCGGUCCAUUCGUGAUAGGAAUAUUGGCCACGUAAUUGUCAUUUUCUGUGCUCUCCAAAAUCUGUUCCCUAUUAUCACCCAUUAUCAUAAUAGUAAUUAAUUCAUUCCUAAUUAAUUAACAUACGUCUCCUACGUUCUGGAUAUGUCCGUCCAAUUUCCGGAGUAAUAUUUACUACUUCGGAUCGCUUUUACGUAUAAUUAAUUUUUUAAUUAAAUUUUUAUUUUUAUUUAUUAAUUUUAACAUAUUAAAAAAUAUAUCUUUUUCUAUAUCAUUCUUAGCAUUAAUUAUUUUCUUCAAAUUAAUUUUAAAAUUUAAUGUAAAUAUUAUUUAAUAAAGAUAAUAUGAUAAAUUAACUAUGUUAUUAGUUACUUUUUCUAAUGAAUCUGUCAAAUAAAACAUAUGUCAAGUAAACCGAAUAGAGAAAGUAUUUGUAUCAAGUGUUUAUACUCUGAGAUUAGCAUAUUUGUUUUUGCACAAUUCGUAAAAAGAAAAGUUUAAUAAAAAAUGUAAAUUAUUCAACGUGAUUUUAUUAAAUUCACAUUAAAUAUUCUCAUUACUUUGUAGAGUUAAUUACUUCUAGAGUAAAGUUGAAAUAAUUUAAUUAAUUCUUGAUUUCUUAAAUAUGUCAAUUAUUUUGAGAUAAAUAUUUUUAAGAAACAUGUCAAGUAAUAUGAGACAGGAGGAAUAUUAAAUUAAUUUUAUUUAUUCUGAAUUUUUAUUAAAUUAAUUUUAUUAAUUAUGCUUUGCAAAUUUAAUUUUGACUAUUAUAUUUUAUAUAGUCAUUACAAAAUCUAUCUAUAUCUAAUAAGAGGGGCAAAAGUCUUAUGUGUCAACACUAGAAAAAUCUUAUUUAAAAAAAAAUAUAUAAAAUAUAUCUAUAUCUGCACAUUAACUACCUCGGUAUAAACUGCACAUUAACUGCCCCUAAAAGAAAUACACGUUUUUUAACCUCUUUUACAGAGACAAACACAUUGUUGGUUUCCAUUUAAUAGCCAAAAAAAAAAAUCAAAAAAAUAUUGGCCAAAUACAACAUCACAAUCAAAGAAAUAAGUUUUGUUGAAUACAUUAGCAAUUUGUUGAAUACAUUAGCAAUUGCAUCUUAGGGAAUUAUGUGGGUAGCAACACUCCUUUAAAUUUAAUUGCAAAAACAAAAUACUUGCAACAGCAACGGAAUCAAAAUACUUUUCAGAGAUCAAUAUUGUCAUCAUCGUCUUCUUCGUUGCCGGUGCUUAAAAGGUAUCGGUGUUGAAAAGGUAUUAUUUGGGCAGAUUCAAAAGACGGUUAUGUUAUGAAUCUAAUUUCCAACCACUCACUUCUCGUAUUGUUGAUCUUACUCGCAGAAGGCAACUCCACCAGGUAUCGCUCUUGAAUUACUCCUUUAGUUUCAUAUUACUUGGCUCUGUUUGUAUGAUGCACUGAUAAAGAAAGCUUUGAUUAGUGAUAGUUUAAAUAUGGCUAUAUCAUAUGAUGUAUUGUUUUAUACUCUAAUUUAGAUUAUUUUCUCCACUAUUUUAAUUUUUUUAAAAAUAAUUUAAUGAGUAAACUUCAUAAUUAUUCAUAUUUUUAUUGUGUUAAUCUUUUUAUCUGAAGUUUACAUUAUCGACAGAGAAUGAAGAAAAAAAUGCAUUACAAAAUCCAUGAAACUGUAACUAUAUAUCUUCCCACAACUUCUCCUUCUUUACAACAAAAAAAUAUAUUUUAUUUAAAUUAAAAAUAAUUAAGAAAUAAUUUUUAAUAAGCACGUUUGGAACUAGAAAGUUACAGUCCUUGGUGUCUACAUCAUAUUCAAUGAAGUCUAAUUUGAGUCGUAGUAUAGUUCAUAGUAGAACUUGGCAUUUAAAAGUCACUUUUGAACUCUAAUAGUAGAGUUCUCAUCAUAUUCAGUAAAAUCUAAUUUGAGUCGUAGUAGAGUUCAUAAUCACUAAUUUAGAUUAUUUUUCCGUAACCUAAUUUUGAAAGAUAAAUACAUUUUAAAAAAAUAUUUAUUUCCCUAUUUUAAUAUUUUUAAAGACAAAAAAUAAGAGAAAAGAAAAAGUGACCCAAAAGAAAAUCUAAAUAAAAUUAAUCACAGUACACUAUGAUUGAAAACUGAUUUACUUAUAAUCAACUAAAACAGUAAAUUUACUUUUGAAAUUAAUUUAAAAGAUAAAGAUAAUCACAAUUAAAAUAAACAACUUCCCACUAUACUCCUACACUUAUCACAAUUCUAAACUGUCUCAGAAACUAAAUUUUUAUUCAUGUUUAUUAUAUAUCUAUUGCAUAUUUUCUGGAUUGAUACAUUCUUCAUUCAACUUCUUCUCAAUUCAUACCCUCUAAUUUAUUUCCUGAAAACAUUAUUACCUUAAAUAUUCUGUGAAAACAUAUGUACAGAUGUGACUUCACCAUUUUGUUGGAUCAGAAAAUUAUCACAGAGUUAUUUAGUAACAAUGAGGAUUAAUUAUAUAGAUAUUUACUCUAAAUUGGGUAGCCUUUAAUUUUUCCCUGUAACAUCAUCAACAAACAUAUGUGACCUUCAGAAUCCAAAGCACAACAGUGUCGUUAUGUUCACUAUGAUUUUUAGCAUGAAUGUGUCCACAAUUUCAAUUCAACAUUGCUUAUCAGGGCAUUCAGAGCGGUCAGUGUAGCCUUUCCCUCACGAUUUCGCUGCAUUAUGAAUCAGGAGAUUUAGUUUUUUCUUACGAAGUGGACACACUAUUAAAAAUCAUGAGAAUUGACGAAUUAGAUGGGAAAUAGUUGCCAUAGCAGAAAGUUUCUUAUUUUAGCACAGAUAAAUACAUUAGAUUACCUUUGAAGCAGAAGUUAUGUGAGGCACUACAACAACAUUCUUUAUCUCUGCAAAAUCAGGUUUCAUGUAGGGCUCAUCCUAAGACAACACAAUUAUCAAAGAAAAGCAAUUACUUGAAUGUAUAAGACAAGGGAAAGCAUUCUACAGUCUACACGAUUAAGUUAUUUUUGACGAGCUUUUUGCUUGGUAGAAAUGGCGUGUGAUAUAACAAUUUCUCAUUGACCUUACAUUUUCCUUUAACAUGUUCAUAAUAGGAGAAUGGAAAAAAAAAAAAAAAAAAAAAAAGAACAGAUUACUAUAGUUAUUACCUCAAGGACAUCAACGCCAACACGGAACAUGGGAUUUUCCCUCAAAUGUUCAACAAGAGCUAUUUCAUCAAUCACAGGCCCCCUACUACAGUUCACAAGUAUUGCUUCCUACAAACUUGAGUUGAGUAAUAUCAAGAUAUUAUAUUUUACCUUUUUCAACAAUUAAAUAUAAUUAGUGUGAAUUUAUUUUAAUUACUUUGUAAGGAUGAAAUUUUACCUUAUUUUUUCAUUUAAUAACUUUAAUAAUAUAUUAAAUAUUUCAUCUUUUAUGUAAUACGAAAAAAUAUCAACUAAAUUGUAUUAACGAAUAUUGUACAACUAAACAUAUAUUUUUUAUGACAAUUUAAAUUUUUAUUUAUUCAUAUCAACUUAGUUAAUGUUGGAUUGGUGGUAGAUUACACAUAUUAAAAAAUAAUAUGAUAAUAACACUGAUUUACUGUAAAAUGAUUUUACAGUCUUAUACAAAAACUCAAUGUCUAAAAUAAUUAUUUAAUAAUACAUUAAUAUUUUUCGCGCAACGCGCGGGUACUUUUACUAGUAAGAGUAAUAUUUUAAAAAAUUGAUAAAACUCUUUUUGAUCUCACAAAUUGUACAAAUAAAUUGAAACAACUAUGUUUAGUAUGAAUCAAGUAAAAUAAAAUGGAGGAGGUACUUUCUUUGUUUCAAUUUAUAUAAGUUAGUUUGACUUGACACGAAAUUUAAGAAAGAAAUAUUUUGAAAUUUAUAAUCUAAAAUAUUUUCUUCAUUUAUUUUUAUUUUUUAAUUUUAUUUUAUAAAAGUCAGUUUAACUAAACUUCUUUAAAAAGGAAAUUCCAUAAAACUUAUAGACUAGUUUAAGCUUUCAAAAAAUAUUAAUUGUAGAAAUAAAAUGAAAAAUUCUUAUCAUCCUUUGUCCUUUUGAUAAAUAGAUAAGUAAUUUGAGACAAUUAUUCACAAAUAAUUUCUAUGACAGUCUUUUAAUUUAUAAUUGAUAUAAUCUAGUAUCAAUUAGACAUGUCCUAUUCACAAAUCUUUAUAAUAAAAGUAACCACAUAAUUAGGUAAUUCUUAAUAAAAUAUCAUGCAAUAAAAUUAGAGUUUGACUGGGGAAUUGUAAAUAUCAAAAAUAAUUUGUAUCAUUUCUAUUUAAUUGACGUCUUCAAAUUUCUGAAAAAAUAAUAAAAAAACUUUUAUAUAGAUACAAUGUUUCCUAAAAUUUUCUUUCUUCUUCAAAAAGAUCAAGUUCAAUUCAUGUUCUUGAUUUUCAAUAGGAUUAUCUCCACUAUUUGUUUAGUGCAGAAUUUCGUAAGCUUGUCAUAUUCACUAACUAGAGGUGCAAGGUCCGUGUCAGCACGAGCCCAACGUUAAGUUAUUUUUACUAUAUAUAGUAAAUUAAAUUGAUAUUAAUUUGAAUUAUGAAUUAUAAAACAUGAAUACACAAAACAUAUUAACUACGUGAUAGUAUUUUUUAAGGAGUCAAGUCUUACAAGAUAAUUAUGUAUAAUUUACUCAUAUAAACAACAAAAUUCGAUGCAUUUAAAAAUUUAUAUCUUUAAUCAUAUGAUCGAGAUUUGCUACAUUAAGAAGAAAAUUUAAGAUUAAAAUUGAUACAUAAGACUUGACAUUUAUUGUAUAAAAUAGAGAAUAAUUGUUGAAAAAGAUAAAGAGUUGUCUAGUCAUUGUAUAUUACAUCACAUGUGGAUUGCAAUUAAUAACCCGCAUUGUAUUCCCUUACUAAGCUGCCAUAGACAUCAUUUGCUUUCAUUUUCUCCUUCUCUUUUAUUUGUCAACUUGUUCUUUGAAGUUAAACUAAAUUAAUAUUUUAAAUUCAAAUUUUAAGUAUUUCAGAAAUUAUAUAAAAUAAAAAAUUAUAAGUUACCAUCUUUCAUAUUAAUUUAAUAUUUGACUUUGAGAACACGAUAAAACAUACUUAUGUAAAUAUUUUAUUGAACUUUAUUUUUGUAUAUGUACCUUCCAUUAAAAUAAUGCUGAUAGAAUGUAUUAAUAAUGUUGGCACUAAUAAUGCUUGUAUUAGUAAUAUUUGUAUUAUUUAUGCUAAUAUUAUUUCUUAUACACUGUUUGAUGUACUGUAUUGGAACUUGCAUUUUUCAAUUUUGAUAUAUUUAAACAAAAGUUGAAAAAAAAGAUGGAUUGCAUAUACAUCCUAAGAUUCAUCCGGAAUCUAGCAUGAGNNNNNNNNNNNNNNNNNNNNNNNNNNNNNNNNNNNNNNNNNNNNNNNNNNNNNNNNNNNNNNNNNNNNNNNNNNNNNNNNNNNNNNNNNNNNNNNNNNNNNNNNNNNNNNNNNNNNNNNNNNNNNNNNNNNNNNNNNGUAUUUUUAAAAUAAUUUAAAUUAUUAAUUAUUAUGAUUUAUAAUAUUUUUAUUCUAUUUUAAUUUAAGUGACAUUGAUAUAAUUUCGAGAGUCGACCAAAUAUUUAUAUCAUUUAAAUUUUUAAAGUUUUUAAUUAUUGAUUUAUAGUAUUUUUUAUGCAUUUUAUAAAAAUAUAUAAUAGAUUAAAUUAUUUAUAGAUAUUUCAAGUUUUUAAUUAUUAUAAUUUAUAAUUUUUUUUAUGUAAUUUUUUAAAAAAAUAUGCUACACUCCUUGUCCAGGGUCUUGUGUCACUGAUAGUCAAUUAUAUUUUUUAAAUAAUUUAAAUUUUUAAUUAUUGUGUAUAACUUUUUCUACUAUAAUUUAAGUGACAUGAUGCUUAGAUGACCAUAAUAAUUAAUAAGAGGUGAUAUAGUAAAAUCACGAUUGAAGCAGCGAAAUAAACAUGUCUUAAAUAACUCACAACAACUAAUUAAAAGUGAUAUAAUAAAAUUACUAUAAAAGAUACUUGUCAAAAAAAAGUAAGUGAAAUCUUAUAUAAGACGUCAAGUUAUUUUAAAACAUCAAGAUUUUACUUAUCAUUUUAUAUCUAUUUUAUCUUUUUAGUUAAAUAUUGAUUAUGUAUUUAAUACUUAGAUGUCUUAUAAUAAUUAAUUAGAGGUGAUAUUUAGUAAAAUUAUAAUUAAAGCAGCUGAAGCAAGCGUGUCAUAAAUGUCUAUUUUAUUAUUUUACUAGAUAUUAUUAAUUUUUUAAUAUGUAAAUAANNNNNNNNNNNNNNNNNNNNNNNNNNNNNNNNNNNNNNNNNNNNNNNNNNNNNNNNNNNNNNNNNNNNNNNNNNNNNNNNNNNNNNNNNNNNNNNNNNNNNNNNNNNNNNNNNNNNNNNNNNNNNNNNNNNNNNNNNNNNNNNNNNNNNNNNNNNNNNNNNNNNNNNNNNNNNNNNNNNNNNNNNNNNNNUUUUAAUAUAUAAAUAAUUUAUAAUAAUUAAUGAAAAAUGAUAUAAUAGAAAGUAAAAUUACGAUUGAAGCAACUGAAAUAAACAUGUCAUGAAUGUCUAUUUUUCUUUUCUUUUUUAAAUUAAAUAUUAUUAUUUUUUUAAUAUAUAAAUAACUUAUAAUAAUUAAUUAGGGGGCAAUAUUGUAAUAAAAUCAAGAUUGAAGCAAUUGAAGCAGACAUAUCAGAAUUUUCUCUUCUAUAUUAGAAAAAAAAAUUAAAUUAGGUGAAAUUAUAGUAACAAAUAAGAAAGAAAGUAAAUUUUAUAUUUGAUAUGAAAUUAAAUAAAGAAUAAAAUUUAUUUAAUUGUAUCACUAAUUAAUUUUUAUAAUAAAUUAUCAUCUUACUAAUCAAUUUACUUAAAUAUAAUAUAUUUGAAACAAUUUUAUACAAUAAAAAGAUAAAUAAAAUUGAAAAAUAAAUGGAAGAUAUAGGGUCCAUGUGUGUGGAAAUAUAUGCAAGGCAUGUGAUGGCAUUAUGGUAAAUUUUAUACUUGGCGUUAUUGGUAAUUAAAAAGCAAAGAAUGGGUUUUUAUUAAAAAAUUUCAUGAGAUUCAAAAAUCAAAGCACAAAAAAUUAUCAAUUUGAACUUAGAACUUGAAAUGAAUGACCAAAUUACCCUUAGAUAAAUUUGUUAUAUCAUUUCCAUUCCAUGACCAAACCACCUCUUUUAUAGAAAUAGAAAAUUAUUUGCAUUAAAUCUCAUAGCAAUUUCGCAGAAAAGAGGAAGUAAACAUAAUUUUUAAGAACACGUUUUGUGCGUAUUUCAAGUCUCAAAUUCUAUGUUAGUUGUUCGAAUAAUAAGCUCUUAUCUUUAUAUUUUUCUUUAUGUAUUUGUAUAUAUAUUCAUGAAAUAUAUUUUUCGACAUAUAAAUUUUUAAAAAUUAACAAAAUUUUAUGAUCAAGGUAGAUAGAUAUUUGAUAAAUAUAGAGUCGUCAAAAUGGCUUAACCCAACCCAACCCACUAUAAGGGUUGGGUUGGGUUGUGAUUUUUGAGCCCAGUUAAAACUGGGCUUAUAAGCCCAGCCCAAGUCAACCCGCUGGCCCUUGAUGCUUGAUUGAUGCUGGGCUGGGCCUGCUCGUAGGCCAAAAUACUAUUUAAUUUAUAUUAAAAUAUAUGAAUAUUGUAAAAGAAAAAGUAAUAAUUAAGAAUAGUAGUUAUUGAAUAAGUUUAAUAUCCUACAUAAUAUUUAACUUAUUAAGUGUUAAACCUUAAUCAUCAAGUAUUGAUGUUGCAUUUGUUAUUGUUAUUCAAUUUAAACUUGGAAUUAAAGAAAAUUGUAAGCAAAAAGAAUUAGAACUAUAAAUAGUGAUUACUUAAUUAUUUACCUAGUAUGUUACACAAUAUUUUACUCAUUUAGCAUUAAAUGGCAAAUAUUAAAAUUUCUAAUCAUAAAUAUAAAAAUUGCAUUCAUCAUGAAACGUUCAAACACUUGUUGCAGCUACACGAAAUCAAUUGCACAACAUUACCCAAAUUCAAAGCGAUAAUAUUUUUAAGUGAAUUUCAAAUAUUAUUAAUUUUUGAUAUAUAACUUUUUGAUAUUGUUCAACUUAUAAAAUUUGCAUAUGAAUUUAGAUGAAUGUUGAUGUUAUUAAGAUAAUGUAAUCAUUGAAUUCAAAUAUAUUUGACAAUGUAUUGGUGUUGAAAUAUUAUAAACCAUCGUAGAAUUAUUUACUUUAUAUAAUAAGGAAAAAUUACAGAAAAUAGCACACUUAAGACUAUAAUUACAAUAAAUAGCAACACUUCUGUAAAAUUACAGUUUAUAUUAAGAGAAACAUUAUUUUACUCAUUAACUAGGCAAGUGCAAGUUUUACUCUUACUACUUUAUAUUUUUCUAUUUUCACUCCACUAUUUCACCUCCCCCAAAUAUAGCUAUAUCUUUUACCCUUUUUUUAUCUUAAUUUUUUUUUUUAAUUUUCACUUUAUUUUCUCUCUUAUAUUUCUCUCUUUUUUUUUUUCCUUUUACGUUUUUUUUUUAAUUUUUUUUAUUUUUUUUUCCCUUUUCAUAUUUGAAGAUAAUUAUCUCCGUAAUCUUCAAGAUUUCAAAAUAAAACAUCAUUAUUGUCUUUCACUCUCUUAUAUCUCUACCUUUUUUUUCUUGUUAUUUUUUUUUCAUUUUAUUUUUUUAUUUUGAUUUCUUUUUAUUUUUUAUUUUUUCCUUCCUAUUUAUUUUCUGUCUUCUAUUUCUUUUUUUUUUCUUUUUCGUUUUAUUUUUUUCUUUCUCAUAUCUUUUUUUUCUUUUUCUAUUUUCAUUUUCUGCUUCUUUUUUCUAUUUUAUUUUGUUUCUUUGUUUCUUUUAUUUUUACACUUCUAUUUCUCUUUCUUUUUUUUUUUCAAUUCUCUUUUUUCCUUUUUUUCUUUUUAUAUUUUUGCUUUUUCCCUUUUUUUACUCUUCUAUCUCUAACUUUUAUUUUUAAAAGACAAAUAUAUAUAUAUCACAUACACAUAUUCAAAAAAUAUACAAAAUACAUAGUCAUACAGAUCUAGAUACGUAUUUACGGUACAAAACAUACAUAUAUAUUUACGAUAUACAUAUCAUAUUCAUAUUAAACUGUAGCAAACAUAACUAUAAUAUAUAUCUUCAUAUGUAUUUGCGAAAUACAAAGGUGACUCGUGUAAAAUAAGAAUAUACAUAUGGAUCAGGUAUGUAUUCUGUAAAUACAUAUGCGGAGCUAUAUGUAUUUUAUACGGCAUUGAAUUGGUCUUUGAACUGUACGUACAAUGUCAUUUUAGAGGGUAACAUAUAUGUACUUAUUUGUUUUCUUUUACUGUUUAAGAUAUCUACCAUGUAUUUUUUACUAUCUAUAUGUAUAUGUAUAUAAUUGUCAUUUUUGUUAUAGAGAUUUUGUGUCCUAUAUGUUUAUAUAUACAUGUGAGUCAGAUAUGUAUUUCUGUAAAUACAUCAGAUAUAUAUGUAUAUUUUUUAUCGUAAAUACAUAUGCAGAUCUAUAUGUCUAUUUAUUUCAUAUAUUUUUUGAAUAUGUAUAUAUGAUAUAGAUAUUUGACUUUUAAAAAUAAAAGAUAGAGAUAGAAGAGUAAAAAAAAAUAAAAAAUAAAAAAAUAGAAAAAAACAAAAAUAAAAAAUAAAAUUCAAAAAAAAAGAAGUGAAAAAGAAAAAAAAAGAAAGAGAAAUAGAAACUAGAAAUAGAAGUGUAAAAAUAAAAGCGAAAAAAAUAUAAAAAAAGAAUAACAAUACAACGAAAAAAAUACGAGGAAAGAAAAAAAGAAAACGAAAAAAUAAAAAAAUAAAUAAAAAAAGGAAAAAGGAAAAAAAGAAGAGAAGUAGAAGAGAGAAAAUAAAGUGGAAAGAAAAAAAUGGAAAAGAAAAAGAAAUUAAAAUUUAAAAAAGAUAAAAAAAAAUGAAAAAACUAAAAAAUAAUAAUAAUUAGAGAUAUAAGAGAAUGAUAUUUUGAAGACCAUGGAAAUAAUAAUCUUCAUAUUUAAGUUUGAUUUGGAAAAAGAAUCUACAAAUAUAAAUAAGAGUAUUUUAUGGGAAUUUAAUUAGAUGGGAUAAUUAUUCUUUAUUUAACUCAACUAAUUUGAGUAAAACAAGUACAGUAAACAAUUUACUUAAAUACAAAAUACAAUUUGUUAUUUUUUGUAAUUAUGAAACUGUUGCUAUAAAAGUUGCAAUUAAGGCUCUAUAGUUGCUAUUUCUGAAAAUUUUUCUAAUAAUAAUAUGUUAGAAGUGCGAAUGGAUUGCAUACCUAUUAGUUCAAUUCAAAUUGAAAAAGAAAAUCCAACAAAAAAUUGACAAAAAUAAAGGGCUAGCCCGCCCCAACCCGCGAUCCUAUUAGGGCUGGGUUAGGUCAUACAUUUUAAGGCCCUUUAAAGUGUAAUACCCCGCAAAGUCCUCUUUAAGUCUGAGCCUUAGAGCGUAUUCAGUAAAGCAGAAAUUCAAGUCUAAAAGUUUUAGAAAUAUCUUCCCAAGUAUGAAAUACUUUGAAUCGUGUGCAAUUUCCUUAAUUUUUGCUUAUUGUCAUGUAGAGCAUUAAAUAAGAUUCCCAUCGAUACCAAAUUCGCCUAAGUCGGACACUCGGGUGAAGAGUUAAAGCCAUUUUAGUGAGACAGUGUGCCACCUGGCACCUUAGCGCGUCGCGGAGCUAGGCAAAAUGACAAUCAUCAAAAUCCAGUGAGCCUCCGUGAUUUCACUGCGUUACGGUAUAGUUCCAGUUCCCAACCAAGAUGGCAAUACGAUUUCCACCAUGUCGCACCUUCGUGCAGUUUCCCAAUUGUCCAUUUUCCAGUGAACUAGCGCGAUUAUGGCGCGUCGCGCCAGCAUGAAAAAUUGGGAUUUUCAGUUUAAUUCCAAGGACGAAAAAGAGAUUUUCCCAACCCCUAUAUAUACCCCCUUUACACGAGAAUUGGCCUCAUUUUCUCUCUUUCCACUCCAAAAAUUUGGGUUUCCAAAAAAAUUAAAAUCUCUUCUCUUCUUCAAGCAAAAAUCAAGAAAGAUCUAUAGAAAUCAAGAAUCUCUCAAAAGGCCUUCAAGAAAAAAGUUUCCCCAAGGUAUGUAGAUGUUGAUUCUUGGGUCCCUUUCAUCCAAGAAACUCAAGAACCCUUUUCAAAACUUCAAGAUUUUUAUGUUUACGAGAUUUCAUGAUUUGUAUGAGUUGAAAUUGAUGUUCCUUGUGAUGUUGAGUUUUGAUUCAUGUUUGUGUACAAGAUUUAUGAGUUUUGACCCUAGUAUGUGGAAUUUAUGUGAUGUGUUCAUGGCAUUCGGUUGUAGAAAUGGUUGAAUUAGCGAAGCAUGUCCCCCAUAAGUUUGAUAAAGAGCUUAGGUGAAGCAUAAGAGCCAUUGUAGUAUGUUGAAGAUAAAACCCCAAAUUGUGAGUUAGUUUAUGCAUGCCUAGUGUUUGAUAAAAUGUCAAGUGAAUGAAUUAUUCCAUGAUAGUGGGAAAUCCCCAAAUAAGUAUGAACCCGUGCGUGUCUAGUAAUUGUUGAAGAACCUUAGUGAACAAGUGGAGAUGUGAUGGUAGUAAAUUCCCCAAUUAUAUACUCUUUGAUAUAUGCUAAGCUUUUAAUACAUGCCAAGUGGUUAGCAAGUAAGUUGAGACAUGAUAAUAUGACCUUUUCCCCAAAAUCAUAUGAUAUCCAACUAUCUGUCAAGAUUGAUUUAGGUGUGAAGUACUUGAGGAAAGACCUUGUUGAAUGGAGUAUGAUCUAGUAGCAUAUUUCCCCUACGCUAUUAUAUGUUUAUGAUCCCUAAAUGCUCGAAGUGAUGUCUUAGUGAUUGUGGGGAUGAAUAUAUGAUAUGAUUCCUAAAUACUUGAAGAGAUGCUUUAAUGAUAAUGAUGAUGAAUGUAUGACUGUGAUGAUGAAUGAAUGAUUGUGAUGAUGAUAAUGAAUGAAUGGUUGUGAUGAUGGAGGAAUGAUUAUACUUUAUUUUAUGUUAUCGAGUCCUGAGGGUAUUUAUACCCGAUAAUUUAGCUGCUGUCGAGAGCCCGUGUUAGUUUCACGAUAAUUCCAGUCGAUCCAUGAUUCUCAGAACUCAGUGAGCUAUAGAACUCUGUAUCUUCAGACAAUUGCAGAACGUAAGAAAGCUCAAAAAUCCCAGUAAUCUCUGUAAUCUUUGUAUCGCUAGUAAUCUAGCCUCAGUCCUGUAAUUAACUCAGAUCCAAUAGUAUGCAGGUGUUCAAUUCUAAUAUCAGAAGUGACCGAAUAAGAUAUUCAAGCUCCGUAUCGUCAGUCAGAUACCGUGAUUCAAUACCAUUUCCGUCAGAUACGAAACUAAGUGAUCUCAGCGUAGCUCAGUCAGAUCUUUUGAUAAACAUAAUUAGUAUCAGAUUCAGUUCAGUUGUGUUCAGUUAAGAAUUCAGUCAGAGUCUUGCAGUUGAGAGUAGAAACUAGCACCGAGUGAGGGAAGGGAUGACGGCUCCUUCCGUCAACCAAGGGAUAACGGCUCCUUCCGUCAACGAAAGAAAGAGGCCGGAGUCGUUAGUAGCAAUCCCUGACCUCCAGAACUGCGUAGCCAGCGCAGAAUACAAGAGUCACCAUCAGGAAAAAGCUGUCACCUCCAGAGGGAGAGUAUUUGACUAUUAUAUUGCCUUAGGUCGACUGCCUGGUAAGGGUCAUCCGUUAGAGAGUAUUGACCAGAGAGAGGUCUUUACCCGUGGCACGGUAUUGACACCCUUCCAGCUGGUGUUACAGGUUGGACCCCACCUGUGGUAGGUUGGGGCAUGUCGGUUAAGUAACUACUUCCCACAGUUUCAGUUACAGUCUCAGUUUCAGUAUCAAUCUUCAGAAAUCAGGACUGUCAGAUAUAGUAACCUAUCAUUAUGAGGAACUCAGAUAGUUUCAUUGAUUCAUAGAUCAUCCCAUCAGAUAGGCUUGGUCUCAUAUACAAUUAUUUGAUAGCAUAUUCAGAGAUAUGCCGCCAGAUAGGCUUGAUUUACAGUCUCAGAUUUUAUUGAGUAUCCUUGUUGUCAGAUUCAAAUAUAUUCAUAUUUCUUAUCAUUGAUAAUAAUUUCUGAAAUCAUCUGUUAGAGAGGUUGAUCUCAAAUCCUGUCAGUCGAAAGCAGUAAAGCUCAUAAUUCAGUCCUUGAUAUAAGUGCAUCCAGAUCUUCAUUUAUCAAUAUCAGAUGAAUUUGUGAUUCAGUAUUUCUUAGUCUGCGGUAAAGUGGUAUCCGAGUUUCAGUAUCUAGAGUUGUGAUAAUUGUGAUUAUGGUCUGUGCAUUCAUGUAUGUGUUCUCGUGCGACAUUUUCAUGAUUAUUCAGUUUAGAUAUUGUGCACGCAUGAGCCUUUGCAUUUAGCCUUACCUCGUCUACAUACUCAGUACAUCCUUAUACUGACGCAUUUGCGCUAUGGUGUUUUACUUGGCACCAUAGGUUCAGAGGCACAAGACUCAGAGUUUCCUCAGCAGUUCCGUCCCAGUCAGCAGCUGUGAGUCCUCUUCGUUCGAGGACGAGUUUCAGUUUACUAUUAUUUACAUAAGAUUUUGUUUAUAUUUUUAGUUGACGGAGUUAGUUGGGGACAUGUCCCAUCAAAUUCAUAGCUCAGACAGUACAGAGGCUUUUCAGACAGAUGUCGGAUGUAUUAGUAUUCAGUUUUCUAUAUUUUGAGUAUUUAUAGAUGUGUUGAACCUUAUGGCCAGUUUCCGCAUUUAUUUCAGAUAUUAUGCAGUGUACAGGUACAAAUAUUAGUAAAGGAUUAACUUGUGGUCCUUCGGGAUCAUAAGCAUCGUGUGAUGUCUCGAGAUGGGAUCUCGGGGCGUUACAUAAAGUGAAGGGUCGGCCCUUCUUAACCCAUCAAAUUCUUUAGCCCGUGAAGCUUGGACUGAGUUAGGUUGGGCCAGCCUAUCUCGACAGCUAUAGAUAAAUAUCAUGCACGACAGACUAAACGAAGGUACGUGCAUUUCUUUGGGUACGUAAAAAGUCACUAUCAAUAUGGAGAAUUAAUUCAGACACUUCAAAGCGUGACUUAACAAUGAUGUUAAAAUUGAAGAAGAAAAAUUAUAAAUUAUCCAUUAAUUUGUGAAAUAAAUCUGCAAAAUAAAAAGAAUAAUUAGAAAUUGUUUGGUAGAGUGUAUUGGAAAAUAUAAUGCAUGUAUUAGUUAAUGUGUAUUAUUAGUAUCUUAUUUGAUACAUCUUUUUGCCUAUGUAUAACUAAUGCAAGCAUUAGUUAUACACUCUAUUGUGUAUUGAAGUGUGUAUUAAUAAUACACUCCAUUUCCUAUGUAUUAGAAAUACAAAGACUUUUAACACAUGCAUUAACUUAUUAAAUGACUUUAAUACCCCUCAAUUUUUCUCUCAAAAUAUUACAUAAUUUUUUUUCCGCCAUUUUAAUUUUCAACAGUGAAUCUUCUAAAAACAUUUUAGAAUUUCUUUUCCCAACAUUUUAAUUUACAACAAUGAAUAAUUGAUUUAACUAAUCGCAACAUAUUUUUGUUUUGCUUCGAGGGUCUUUAAAAAGAUUAAAAAAAAUUCUUGAGAUUAUUUCUUAAUUUUAUAUCUUGUAUUUUAUUUUUGUUUCGAUUAUGUUAAUCCAUCGGCGUAAUAUUUCAUACGCAAAGAACUUUGAGAUACCAAUUCAACAAUAUUAAUUAUAUUUGAGAUGACAAAAGAACUUUGUUGUAAAAAAUUGUAUAAAGUCAAAGAAGAGUAUUUUUGUAAACAAACACUUCUUUUAUAGAAAUUAUAUAAAAUAUAUUAUUUCUUAUACAUCAAACCAAACAAUGUAUAAAAAAUAAUACAUGCAUAAUUAAUGCAAGCAUUACUAAUAUGCUAUAUUCUGCAUUGUUCUUAUAGACUCUAUCAAACGACUCCUUAAUGUAUUACACUUUUUAUUUAUGUUAGUUGUACAUAUUACUUAUUAUUUUUUUUAUUUUAUAUAUAAGAGACAAUUCAAGAACUUUAGUAGUUCUCAUAAAAAAUUUCAGCUUAAUUUUAACUUUUUUAAUUAAUUAUUUUUAUAUCAUGUUUCCAACUUAAUUUUAAUCUUUUCAUUAAUUACUUUUAUGUCAUGAUUUUAUCUUCUAAAGUCAAAUUUACUUUUCAAAAGUUUUUUUACCUUGUCAUUUUGAAAAUUUUUUAUUUUAUUUUAUUUGAAUUCUUUAUUUUCUUAAUUUGAUAGACAUUCUUUGACAUGAUUUAACUAUAAUAAAUACAUGAGCUAUGAAUUGUAAUUUAUGAAAUUAUAGCUAUGCAUGCUUAUUUUUGCCUAUAUGCAUUUAAAUAAAAAAAAAUAAAAAAUUGGGGGUAGGGGAAGAGAAUGGGGGAGGGGAUUACAAUAUAGAGAAUUAAAUCUCCAUCAACAAGGUGGAAGUUCAGGUAACUAACCAAUUAAGCUACUAAGAUUCUCCUAUUUUCGUCUAUAUGCUUGUUAUUUUUAAAAGUUUUUUCUUUUUUCCUUUUUUAGAAAGAUUUUAUGUGUGCUUUUGUGAUUGAUUUAUAUAAUAACUUUUUAUGAAUCUUUUUGUACUCUUGGUCUAAUAAUUUUUUUCUUCUUAAUUUCAAAAUAUUUACUAUUAUGUUUCAUUUUUGGAGGAUCAAAUCAAAUACAAUUUUAAUUAAUAUUUUAAGAGUGUUUUCACUAUAUUAAUGGGAUAAUCGAUACUUAUAUUAUUUUUCAUAUAAUUUUUGAAUGUAUAAAUUUUAAUUUAAAAUAUUAAAUUAAUCUAACUCAAUUUAACUUCAAAGAUUAGAUAAAAAAAAAAAAUUUAAAAAAAUAUGAUGGAAUGACGAAAGUAUAUUAUUUGAUCUUCAUCGAGUUGUAAAUAUUUUCCAUACCUCAAAAUUCAAAUUAUAUUAUAUUAUAGAAUAUCAAAUUACUUGUAUAUCUUUAUUCAAAGAAUGAAAGCACACAACCUUUCAUAAAAAAGAUAGCUUUUCACUAAAAAACAGUUUUUCAUGAAAUUUUUAAUUAAUCUAUUUUAAACAAAAAAUCCAAAACUAUAUUUAAAUAUUUAUUUGAUCAUGAAAUUGAUCAAAUUAUUAAUAUUCAGUUUUAAAAGAAAUUUAAUUCUACUCACAUUAUUUUAAAUUAUUUUUAAGUAAAAUAUAUGUCGAAAUAUAAUUUCAUAAAUUCAAUCCUUUUAUGUUUCAAAUUUUAAUAUUAAAAUUUAUGAUCAAACUAAACUUAAUAUAUUACUUUACCACAAUAAUAGCAGAUAUUUCUGUUUCAAGAUUUUUCCACGUACUUAUUUUUAUCCAAAACUUUCUAGACACUUAUAAUUUGUGGCCCAAAAACUACACAGCUUGUUCUUACCAUUUAACAUAUAUAUAAAUAACAUAAAUAUCAAUUCUUUUGGAAGUAAUUACAUUUUCUUUCACCUUUUUAAUUACUUACUUUCUCUUCCUAUUAAUAUACAUAACAUAAUCAACAUAUACAUAGUAUUCGGUGUAUAUGUUGGGAUUUUCAUAAUAUAUUAGGGAGUUAAGAUUAUUUUGUAAUAUUAGAAACAUAAGUUGUGUAUUUGUGUAAUUUUUAGAUUGCAUUAACCACAAGUUUUUGGAUCACUUAGAAAAUGAGACAUUUAGAAUUACAUUAUUGGAUAAUUUUGUCAUCCGAAUAUUAACCGCAAGUUUUUGGAUCAUUUAGAAAAUGAGACAUUUAGUAUUAUAUUAUUGGAUAAUUUUGUCAUCUGUUAACUUAAGCAAGAAAGAAAAAAAGGUUUUUUACCCUUGACCUCUAAAAGAGUUCCAAGUUCCAACAUUCCUGAGUAGAUAGAUACUUAAAAGGAUAAACUUUAGACUAUAUAGUCAAAAGUAAUAAAUUAAGACUAUUUUUCGUCUAAAAUAUUUGAUAUGUGGUGGUCAUUCAUUUUAAGCUGAAGAUCUGUUAAUAAUAUUGGUAAAUAUAAAUUAAUUUUUUAACGAUAAGAAUAUGAAUUAAAUUCAAAACAUAAUGGAGGAUAAAAUAGAGCAGAUUUCAGAUAAUCAGAUAAUAAUAAUAAUAUGAGAAAUUUUUUUCACAGUUAUAAAACAUUAUUUUAUUUUUUUCUCAAUUUACAGUAAGACCUCUUCUCUUUGUAGACCUUUUUUUUUUUUUUGGGUGGGGUGGGGUGGGGGGUGGGGGAGGCAAUAGAUUAACGAAAUUGGAGCUGUUUUUUUAUUUUUAUUUUUCACACGAGUUCGUGAUAUACUUUAAAGUUUGAUUAGUCCAAAUUUAUAUAGUGGAAAAGUUUCCAAAAUUGGAGGUGCUUUAGGUACAUAAAAACAACACCCAUUAUUAUUAUUAUUAUUAUUAUUAUUAUUAUUAUAAAUUCAUCCAUUAAGGCUUUCGCGUCUGGUGGUAGUGAGGAGUUUGACAAAUUUUAGAUUGAAAAAAUAGUACAAGUAAAGGGACAAAAUCUGAGAUCACUUCAGUGAUUUCUAACUUUAAUUUUCACUAAAUAUAUCAAUAAUAAUGACAAAUACAAUACAAUUUUAUCAAAUUGAUUAAAUUUAAAAAGAAUAAGAUAUAUACGAACUUUAUUCCUCUGAUAAAUGAUUAUCUCGGAGAAAAUUUUCAUUAAUAUAUGAUCCACAUCAAAUUUAUUCAGGAGUAUUUGUACUUUUCUAGCCUAAUCGUAGGGACAUAAUAAUAGGUUUUAUUAAUGAUUGGUGGUCGCCUAUCAUUUCCUUUUUAGAUAUUUCGGCUACUUUUUACCAGCAUAUGAUCUGCGUAGUUCACCUUUUAUUUUUUAAAACAAAAGAAACUAAUGCCAGUAAAAUUAAAAAAUGCAAGUAAAAAGGAUCUGUUUAUGUAAGAGUAAUUCUUAUUUUUCUUAAGGGAUGAAUUACAUUGAAGUAAAAUCUCUUUAUUUAUAGGGAAAAAUUAAUUUUGAAAUUUGUAACUUUUUCAUAAAUAGACAUACACAAUAUAUGGUAAAGUAGAUAUUCACUAUAUAUGAUAAAAUAAACAUUCACUAGAUAUGGUAUAUUUAUAACACUCCCCCUUAAAUAUCUAAUUGAUAGAUAAUGUGUCUCGUUAAAACCUUACUAGAAAAAAUUCAGUGAGAAGAAAAAUCUAGUGAAGGAAAAAGAGUACACAUCUCUAACAAUACACAUAUAGGCUGUCUCAUUAAAAAUCUUACAAGAAAAAUUCAGUGGGACAAAACCUCGUAAGGGAAAAAGAGUACAAAGCGUAUUAGCUUCCUUAAUGAGAGCAUUCUUGAGCCUUUGCAUCCCGAUCUUGUGCACCAUCUUCUUGAAAGUUGCAAUUGGAGGAGACUUGGUGAAUAAAUCAGUCAUAUUGUCACUUGAACGAAUAUGUUGCACAUUAAUAUUGUCAUUCUUUUGUAGCUCAUCUAUGUAUAAAAACUUUGAUGAAGUGUGCUUCGUUCUUUCUCCUUUUAUGGAUACUUCCUUAAGUUGUGCUAUGCAUGCUGCAUUAUCUCUGUAUAAAAUUGUGGGUACAUUGUCACAUUUAACACCACAUUUUUCUUGAAUGAGAUGUAUCAUGGAUCUCAACCAUACUCAUUCUCGGCUUGCUUCAUGAAUAACUAUUAUCUCAGCAUAGUUCAAUGAAGUGGCUAGAUAGACUGUUUUGUAUAUCUCCAAGAUAUAACAAUAUCCCCUCAUGUGAACAUAUAAUUUAUUUGAGAUCGAGUUUUAUACGGGUUAGAUAAGUACCCAACAUCAACAUAACCAACGAGAUCGGGACUACAAUCUUUAGAGUAAAAUAAGCCCAUAUGUUUGAUCUCAUUCCGAUGUAUCCUAGCAGGAGUAGAACUAUACCUUGCUAACAAAUUGACAAGGGCUAUGUCAUGCCUUUUAAUAUUUGCAAGAUACAUUAGUGCACCAAUUGCACUAAGAUAUGGUACUUCAUAACAAAGGAGUUCCUCAUUUUUUUUCUUGAGGUCGGAAUGACUCCUUAUUCAAUUAUACAUGUUUCUUAUUUAAGCAAAUAUUCUAUUUCUUUUGAAAACUCUCCAAGAGUUCCAAUGAUUUUCAAGCUAUAAGCUUGUACAAUAUAAGGAUUAUAAAUAAAUUUUCUAGAAACUUUUAUAUGCUUCAAGUAUUUUGAAUCCUUAAAAGUUUUUCAUAUAAGUUUUGUCAAGUGACAAUAUUCAAUAUUUCAUGAAUGACAUCUUGAAAUAUCUGGACUACAAAUCAAAUAAGUUUUAUACUUACCAAGAUGCAUCCUUUCAUGUCACUUGAUAAAUAUUUUUACGUCAGCAUGCUUAAAUAAACGUAGAAUUCAGAUCCUCAUAAUCUCUCACAAUAUUGUGCAAAUAUUGUAUCAAAGAUAUCAUUGCUGAUAUAUCAUUUUAUAUCGGUUCACAAUGCGAUAUAAUAUUUUGAGAUCUCAUCACUUCAUUAUUUUCAGGUACCUGAACCUCUCAUAAGGUUUCAUGAAGUGUUAUGUCGUAGACAUUGCCUUCCUAUUAUGACUAUUUGCUCCUUAUCCUUUUCAAGGAUUAUUUCAUUUGGAAUCGAUUGGUCUACCACGCUUCACGCAUGCAUAGACUUUGUCCUUCAUGUACAUAAAAUAUGAGCACUUGCAGCUUAAAAUGAAAUGCUUUCGGCAUUUGACUUGAAUUAUCUUUUGAAAGAGGAUCUGGUGAUAAUUCUAACAUAUUUCAUAGCUGCUUAUAAUCUCCCCUUUAUGUUAGGAAAACUAACAUACAUCCUCUAUCUUUUUUGAGGAAUUCAUCUUUGUACAUCAUGGUAUAUUCAUUAAUCGUAUACCGCACAUCAAAACUAUUAGAUGAAAUAGUUGGUUCAUGAUCUUGAACCAAUUGAGGGGGAAGAAAUAAUUAUAAUUUAUUGGUCUAAUACAUACAAGUGUUAUUGUAUGCAACAUAUCAUACUUCAGAUCAAUACAUGAAGCUUUGUUCUCAUUGGCGAUGAUUUAGCUAUUUAUUGAAGGCAUUCAAUGCCAAACCAUCAAUAUCAAGAUAAUUUUCUUGAUUGCACAAUCUGAAAAUUAUGUUCUUAACUCAAUUUUAUUAAGCAAGCAACUUUAUGAAUGUCAAACUGCAGGUUGACAAUGAAUGUACAUGUGAUCAUCUUAUUGAUGCAUCUUUUCAAUAUAUCACAUGAUAGGUGAACGGUCCCAUGUUCACCUUUUAUAUUUUCCAGAUUUAAGGAAUUCAAUCCCAACAUUAGUUGGUCCAACCAAUUUAUCAUGAGAACAAACGACAUAAACAAUUCUCGAAGAAUCUUGUAGUUCUUCAAUACAUGUAUAAUAUUCAAUAUGCACAUCUUCGAGAUGUCAAAAUUGUUCAUGUCAAUUUAUGAACUUUUAUUCUAGUAAACUUUAAGUUUACCAUGACAUGCACUUUUUUCUUUAGUAAGUUUCAGAUUUACUAUUACAUGAAUAAAUUUCAGAUUUACUACUUUGGAAGUAGCUUUCAGAAUAACUUUUCUCGGUUAUUUUGCCUCAUUUGAAGGUGAGUUGUGAAGCCAUCAUAAUCAAGUUCACGUUUAUUAAUAAGCUUCACUAAAUAUCACCGCAUUCACCCAGGAAAUGGAUCUAUGCUUAUAACAAUUAAAUUCUCAUUCCUAUGAAUGAAAUAUAAUGUGCCUCAAGCCUAUCAAAUUGAUAGCUUAUAACCUCUUUUAUGAUAUUGCUACUUUAGGAGCAAAUCGAAGCAUACAUAUGACCUAAAAAAUUUUUUCCUAACAUAUCUUAUGAUCAUAAUAUGCGUGUGAAAAUAUCAUCACUUUUGAUGAUCAUUAUCAUAUUGUCCCUUCACGCAUAUAUUCGUGCAUUCAAUCACUUGUCUUCUUUAAGUCAUAUUAUGCACUGCUACCGCAUUCACUUCAAGAAUGGAGCAAGUUGUCACUUUCAGAUUCAUUAUAUAUUGCUACCAUAUUCACUUCAUGGAGCAUAUCAAUGGAAUAUUGUGAAUUUUUAUCAAAUAUUGCCUUAACCAUCAUAAUAUAAUCAAUAUGGUGUGUUGAAACAAUUCAAACUCAAUAUCUUAUCCAUAUAAAGGCGUCUUAGGCAUAAAUUGAUGAGAUUUGAAUUCAAUUGUUUUUUUUUCUCUAUAUACAAAGAGGAUUAUUUUGUUUCAUUGUAGCCAUUAGUAAAAAUUUGUCCGAUACUCCAUUACGCAAAACAUCACUGCUUUGCUAAGGAGGUUAACACUCGAUUAAACCUGCCACUCAAAAACAACUCAUCAGAGAAGAUAAUUAGUACUCGAAUUAUGUCUGAACUUAUAAAUUGAAAAGAUAUGCUACUAAAGGAUAUAGUGUUAGACAGUAUAUACACGUGCACUUGUAAUAUUAGCAAGUAGUUAUUGUUUUUACAUAAAACAUCAAGACUUCAAAGACAUAACUGUAAUGUUAUAAAAUAAUUUUAUCUUUGGUAAAAAACUCACCAAACAUAAUAAAAAAUUAAAGAAUCAUAUCACCUUGAGAAUUUUGUUUUGUCGGAUUGUCCUUUCAAAAUUUGUUUUGCGGAGUUGUUCUUUAAUUAGUUGAGAGCACUCAUGCUGAUAAAGUGUUAUGUAAUAUAAACCAAAGAAGAAGAGUAGAGAAUAGAGAGUAAUUCUUAUUUCUCUUGAGGGAUGAAUUACAUUGAAGCAAAACCCCUUUAUUUAUAAGGGAAAACUAACCUUGGGGUUUGUAACUUUUCCACAAAUAGACAUACACAAUAUAUGGUAAAGUAGCUGUUCACUAUAUAGAUAAAGUAGACAUUCACUAUAUAUGGUAUAUUUAUAACAGGAUCGAAGUUUAUCUUACUAAUUCUACAUGAGGCCGAAACAUCUUUUCCUGGAUUUUUUAAAAACAUCUAUCUUUUCUCUUAUCAAAAAGUAGAGCAUUGAAGUAACUAUUAAAAUUAUUGUCAUACGAUGGGUGAAGGACCGAACUAAAAGGGUCACAUCUUCAAAUCGUGAAGACAAACUCUUUCAAAAUGCAGGAUAAAAUUAUGCACAAUAAAUCUUUGUGAUCAAUCCUUCACCAAACAUCACGCAUAGCCAUUUAAUUUAUCGAGCUAAUUUUUUUUCUCUUUUCUCUUUAUCACUUAACUUUUGUUUCAUAAAAUUAGAUUUUAAAAAAAUACAUCAUACAAUAAAAUUUAACUUAUAUACAUUAGUAACAUAAAUAAUUCUUUACUGCAUCAAGUCAUUCAUCUGUUGAUAACCUUUUCAUUAUAUGAAAUUUAUAAUUUUAAAAAUAAAAUAAAUUUUUUAAUCACAAUAAAUAAAAAUAACCUACUAGAAGUAAGAAUUGAUUCGGGGCUCCACUCCACACUACUAGCAAUCAAGUGAAAAGAACACAAUUAAGAAAAAGGACCCAAGUUGAGCACUGAAGCAAAAUAUAUACGACUACAUUUCAUAUUCUUAUUCUUGCUUAAAUAAUUAACAUGUAAUCUGGAUUAUAUUGGACCUUACCAUUCAAAUGUUAGUUUUAAUAUUUCGGUUUUCUCUUAGAUAUUUGAUCAAAUUCUCAUAGUAAUAACUAAUAAGCUGAUUUUCUAUUAAUUUUUUUUUUUAUAUGAAUAGACAUAAAGUCAAAUUUGAACUUCUAUUUUUUUUGUGUGUGUUUUGUCCUAAGAUAGAACAAUUUUAGUGGCCAAAAAAGGUGCCGAAUAUUGUGAAAUGUAACUUUUUUUGAGCUUAAUGUUUGAUAUUUAUUUUUAAGAUGUGUUUCAUGUUGCAAAGUUUGAUUUUGAAAGUACAGUAGUGUUUACUAUCAAAGACGAUUCUAUAUUCAGAAUCUAAACUCAAAAUCACUAAUUAAGAAUGAAAAGUACUUACCAUAACAAGGUAUUUUAAAAUGUAACUAGUUAAUAAGUAGCAAAAUAUCUAUAUUCAAAAGCAUAAAAUAUUAGAAGACUCAAUUCUUUUUCUCUAAGGUCCACAGCAAGAAUUCUCUCUUUACAAGAAAAACAACUUGCUCUAAAAUCUGAAUGGAGAUUCGCAAAGCAUCUCAAAAGCAAAAAUAAUGGCUCUCCUUGGUCAAACUUUUUUUUUUUUUUUUGCAUCCCCUAUUCGAAUUUCACUUAUCUAAUUAAUUUGGAUUUGUGUAGAAUAAUAUCUAUUUUUUUAAUUUCCUUUUACUUAUUACUUUUGACAUAAUACAUCGAUUAAAAAAUAAUUAAUAAUAUAAUUAUUUUAUCAUACUAUUUCUAUUGAUUAAUAUUAAAAGUAAUAUGUCCUAAAAAUGAUUUGGAGAAUAGAUAAUUAAUGCUAGGGAUAAAAUUAAAAAAAAUUCUUUUAUCUUUUCUUGACAUGUCAAAAGUGACAAAUAAAAAUAGAAAUUCAAUUAGAAAAAUAGUAACAAGUAAAAAUAAAUAUAGAAAGUAGUAUUAAAGAGGUAUAUGGAAAAAGUUAAAAUUAAUGCUGUGGACUUCUUAUUCAUUCGUAGGCAUCUAAAUUCUGUGCAACAUAUUCCAGUAAAAAAAUAUGUAAAAAUCAAAUGCCUAUACUAGUAAGAGUCAAUAUUAUAAAAUAUAAAUAUAUUAUUUUUUAUUUAUAAAAUAUAAUUUUAAUUUACAAAACCUAAUAACUAUUCAAAUGUCAGUUUAUAUUAAAAAAUGAAUUAAUUUUAAUGAAGUAGUUAUUUGAGUUUAUUGUUUAAUGAUUAUUAUAAGCAAGUGAGUUGAAUUUUAAAAAUUUGUUAUCUUUUUCAUCCGUAUCUAUGUAGAAGGUAAAAUUAAUUUCAAAAAAAUUCCUCUCUUCAUUCGUUCCUCUUUCUUCAUUGUAACAACUCUAUUUUCACCUAAGAAUCAACUAUAAUUUUUAUAUAGAGAGAUAGAUAGAUACUUCCUUCGUCCCAUUUUAUCCGUCUCAAAUUUUUUAAUUUGGUGUUCCAUUUUACUUGUCCUUUUUUACUUAUCAAGAAAAGACAAUUUUUUUUCUCAUUACACCCUUAGUGUAAUUACUUACUCCUUGUUAUUAGCAUUCUUGAAAAAUGUUGCAAAGAGGAGCACCAUUAAGAGUACACCAUUAAAAAUAUAAAUGGUGCUUUGGUAUUAACCAUCUAUCAAUAUUAGAACUAACAAUAAGACAUAAUUAAGAGGGGUAAAAUGGUAAAGUUACAUUACCAAUUAUUAUUUUCUUAAUAGCCGUACCAUCCCAAUUUGGGACGAGUAAAAUGAGAUGGAGGAAGUAGAUAGAUAGAUAGACAGACAGAUAGAUAGAUAGAUAGAGAUUGGUGUAUAAAUAAUUUUAUGGUGUUUAAACUGUAUAAAAAUUUGUAUAUCAAUAAUUUUAUGGUGUCUGAAUUGUACAGAAAUAAAUAUAUAAACAAUUUUAAGGUUUUUGAAUUUUAUAGAAAUUGAUGUAUCAAUAAACAUAUGAAUUCUGAACUAUAUAAAAUUUAGUGUUUUACAUUAGAGAACUUACUACCAUUAAAGAUGUGUUUUAAAAAAAAAUUAAAAAAUUAAUGUCAAUUAUAUUGAAUUAAAAAUAAAAUUAAAAACAAAAAAUAAUAUCGUCUAAAUGUGUUGAAUAAGAUACAUCAAUUCGAAUGGGAAUCGAUUCUUUGAGAUUUAUUGUUUUUGGAAUGAGAGUGAAGAAAGUAGAAUAGAUUUUUUUUUUUUUGGAUGGAGAUUGAGAAAAACUUGAAUGUUUGACAGUGAUAUUAACUUUUGUGCUUUUACAUAUAUUUUGUAAGAAAUUUAUUAUUAUCUUUUGAAAAUAAAAAUUUCAUGAUAUAUUGUUUUGUAAAUAUGGUGCUUAUUUUGUAUAGAUAUAUCAUUUGCCCCAAUAAUUCUUGUGAUAUUCAUAAAGAAAAUAAGACAUCAUUAAACAUUGUCUAAUAUUGUUAGCCAUCAAAUUCAUCCUUAGAAAGUCCAAUUUAUUAUAUAUUCACAAAAUACGCUACUAACAACUUUUAAAUCAUGAAAAAAAAAAAAUUUAAACAAAAUAAUUAAGAGGGAAACAAGAUUAUACUCACAAAUAUUCAUCAAUAACAUCUUUGUUUCAUUAUUCUUAUUUGUGAUUGAAAUUUAGUUUCAUCAUUUUAAAAUUUAUUGUAAAAAUCAUUCUUUUUUGUAAUUUUUUUAAAAGUAAAAUCACCUGAUAUUCAAAUUCCUCCAGGGUUUUACUAAAAUUCAAAUUUAUAUUGGAAAGUCACAUUUUAAAAUAAAAUGUUCCUUAUCAAAAUGUCUUUUUUGUAUUUUUGCAUUUAAACUUGAUUGAUACUUUUGAUUAAGAAUGAGGAAUUGCUGAGAAGGUGUAUUUUAAAUUGCUAACAAUAUUUAUAUAAUUUGACUCCUAAAAAAAUAUACACAAUAAAAUAUUAUAGGAUAACCAUGAUUUAAAGUGCGUACAUGGGCUGAUAAUUGUGCUAGGGCCCUCUCGACCUUUUUCACUUUGGUGUCGAUCUUGGCAAUUGACCUUUCCUUCGUGCAACAUCAAAUCAAACCAAAUAUAGGCUUCGUACGUCAACUUUUACACGCUAUAUAAUUUUUUUAAAAAAAUAAAAUUACUUAAAAAAUAAUUACAAAUAAUUCCUCAUACAAAACAGAAUUAGUAACUUGAAAUUAUGAUAAUUACUUGUUACGAUAAGUUAGAACAUAUUUUUAAUAACACUACUGAUACGAUAAAAUAGAGUUAACGGUUAUGAGUCAUCUUAGGUGUGACAAAAUUAAAAAUGAUCCGUGAUUAGGUCGUUCUGAAAAAGAUCCUCAACAUGUGGUGCAAAAUCAUUGGUCACCUUACUAUAAGGCUCAAGUGACACCUCCUAUUUAGUCAUAGGCCAAUCGUGUACAAUAUAAAUAGGAGCCUAGUCUCACAGGCCUAUUUUUAGCCGCGUGCGGACAGCUUAACACUCUCAAUAUCGAUGCUAAACUCAGUCCUAGCCCAGCUCUAAAUCAGUCCCCAAGAACGUUUGAACACUUACACAAACACGUAAGGAAAAAUAGCAAAGGAAGACACUCGAUUUGGGAGGACCGAAAAGUCAAUUUUCUGAUAUAUUUCUUGAGUAAAAACAAGUAUGUGAUAUCUGCCCAAGAGGGCCUUACAAGAUAUAUAUAAAGUCCCUUAGUCAAGGGGUACAAUAAAUGCCAACAUUUCUACAUUUGGUCAUGCAAUCCAUGCACUAGUGAAAGGUCUUUGUCUAGCAACCUGAUUUUUCUGUGCAGUCUCUGUUCAGCAGCUGGUCAAGGCUCUAAAGCCCCAUAGAUGUUGACCCGAGCUUGUAAUUUGACCUCCCAAAGAUGCCCCCACGUUGGCCUUGUCAAUGGACGUUGUGGAAGCCCCGUCGGGCUCCGAAAUACACCCGAAAUGCUCGGAAUUAUGCCCAAAACGUGAUGAAUUCAAUGGGUAGUGACGCAGGGCGUCACACUCUCCCCCACCUGAUUUGGCGACGACCGCAGCGCCACAUAGAUGCAAAUAUUUGUGGACUUGCUCCUUGAACGGCCACAAGUCCUCAUAUUUUCCCAUGAUGCCUCCUCGGGCAAUUGCCCUUUCCAAUGGACUAAGAAUUGGGCACUUGAAUUGCCCCAACCUUUUUCUCAAACCAAUUGAUGAUCAAUUAUGUCCUCAAUUUUCUUAUCCGUGGCAGCGGUCGUCAUGAAGAUUUGGGCCCGACUAGACUUACCCCGCUCCACGUCUUCCUUGUCUUCAAUAUACGGUUUUAAUUUGCUUGCAUGGAAGACAGGAUAAAUCUUUAAAUGUGAUGGCAUGUCCAGCUUAUAUGAAAUUUUGCCAACCUUGGCAACAAUCUCGAAUGGACCCUUGUACCUUCGGAUCAAACUUUGAUUGACGCUCCUCAACGACUUGAAUUGCCUUGGAUUGAGCUUGACUAUCACUUUGUCUCCAAUCCGGUAGUGGACUGGACGACGACUGUGAUCAGCGAAUUUCUUCAUUUUGCGGGCUGCUUUAUCAAGAUACGACCUUGCUAAAUCGACUUGUUCCUCCCAAGCCUUUGCCAUAUGAUAAGCACCCGGAUUCCUCAUUCCGGCUUUAACCGGUAAGGAUUGUGGAGUGUUUGGUUGCUGCCCCGUUGCAAGUUCGAAUGGACUGACUACGACCUGUUGCCUCACUCCGUUGCAAAUUGUAUUAGAAUUGGGCCGUGUCAAGCAACCAUGACUAGUCCCUUUGAUUGGCACUAACAAAGUGCCUCAAGUAGCACUCGAGUAACCCAUUUACUCGCUCCGUCUGUCCGUCGGUUUGGGGAUGGAAGCUGGUUGAAAAGUGCAGCUCCGACCCCAACAAACUGAAUAGCUCCUUCCAAAAUGCUUCAGUGAAUCGCGGGUCUCGAUCACUAAUGUUAUGCCUAGGCACGCCCCAAAGUUUAACUACAUCUUUGAGAAACAAUCGGGCUGCCUCCUUGGCUUUGCAAUUCGACGUGGCAGCUGAGAAUGCUGUAUAUUUGGAGAAGCGAUCAACGACAACCAUGAUUGUUCUGCAACCCUCCGAGUUAGGCAAACAUGUGAUAAAAUCCAUGGUGACACUGUCCCAUAGUUUCUCCGCGGUGGGCAGCGGCUCAAGUAAUCCACCGGGCGCCUUGUGUUCCACCUUGUCUUGUUGGCAAACAAAGCAAGUGCGAACGUAUACCUCUAUAUCGUCCCUCAUGCGAGGCCAAUAAUAAGCUGCUUCUAACAAAGCCAUGGUGCGUUUCUGUCCCGGAUGACCAGCCCACAUUGUCUCAUGGCCCUCCUUGAUCAACAAGCGCCUAAGAUUUUUCCAUCUAGGCACAUACACUCGCCUUCCGGUGGUGUAUAACAGCCCGUCCUCUUCCCAAAACUUUUGGGUUUUGCCUUUGCCUGCCAAAUUAAGAAGUUGUUUGGCAACGAGAUCAUGUUCCAUACCUUACUUGAUGGUAUCCAGCACACCACAGCUGGUCGUGCUCAAUAGUGUCGCCAAAACAGCCUUGCGACUUAAUGCAUCGACCACGACAUUUGCCUUUCCCUAUUUAUACUCCAAUGAGUAAUCAAACUCUGCCAAGAAGUCUUGCCAUCGAGCCUGCUUCGGCGAUAUUUUAUUUUGUGAUUGGAAGUAGCUGGUCGCUAAAUUAUCCGUCUUGACGAUGAAAUGAGCUCCCAACAAAUAAUGACGCCAUGUCCUUAGGCAAUGGACGAUGGCCGUCAUCUCCCUUUCAUGGACUGUGUAGCGCCGCUCCGCAUCAUUCCAUUUUCUGCUUUUAAAUGCUAUCGGAUGACCCUCUUGCAUUAGGACACCACCAAUAGCAAAGUCGGAUGCAUCCGUUUGCACCUCAAAUAGUUUCGUGAAAUCCGGUAAAGCCAAAACCGGUUCCUUGAUGAUGGUUGUCUUGAGAUUGUUGAAUGCCCCUUGACACGAACUAUUCCACUCCCAAACAUGAUUCUUCUUCAAUAAAUCCGUGAGAGGAGCAACAAUAUCCGAGUAUCCAAGAAUAAAUCUUCGGUAAUAAUUAGCAAGGCCAAGGAAGGACCUCAAUUCGGAUACCUUCGUUGGAACCUCCCAAUCUCGGAUCGCCUCAACUUUGUCGCUAUCCAUUUGAAUCUGCCCUUGGCUGAUCGUAUGGCCGAAGAAUUGCACCUUCGGCUAUGCAAAAGUGCACUUCUCCCUUUUGACGCAUAGCUCAUUUUCCCGCAGCACAUUAAACACGAUUUGAAGGCGUCUAACAUGCUCCUCCAUUGAGAUACUGUUAUCAACAAUGUCGUCCAAGUAUAUGACCACGAAUUGAUCCAAGUAUGGCUGGAAGAUCUUGUUCAUUAGUGUGCAAAACGUGGCUGGUGCGUUGGUCAGUCCAAAAGGCAUGACCAGCCACUCAUAGGACCCAUAACGAGUCACACAAGUCGUCUUGGCUUCAUCUCCUUCGGCUAUGCNNNNNNNNNNNNNNNNNNNNNNNNNNNNNNNNNNNNNNNNNNNNNNNNNNNNNNNNNNNNNNNNNNNNNNNNNNNNNNNNNNUAUUUGUUUUUCACCGUGACUUUGUUGAGAGCACGGUAAUCAAUACACAACCGCAACGUCCCUUUCUUCUUCUUUUGAAAUAAGACCGAAGCUCCAAAGAGUGCCUCAGAUGUUCGGAUAUGGCCUGAUUCCAGCAGCUCCUUGAGUUGUUUUCUAAGUUCCUCAAGCUUCGGAGGCGACAUCCGAUACGGGGUCAUAGCUGGUGGCUUUGCCCCGGGUACCAGCUCGAUCUCGUGAUCAACUUUCCUUCAUGGAGGUAACCGUUUGGGCAGCUCCUCCGGCAUUACAUUUAUGUUCUCUUCAAGAACACGUUGGACACAUGAGGGAACUAAUUCAGCUUCUUGGCAGCCAAUGAUCUCCAUCAAUGUCGCAAGAAAGGUUGGUUCUCCUUUCUUGAAAUAUUUAACAAGCUGCAUCGCCGACAAACGUGUGCCACUUUGAGCGACACGAAUAAGUGGAACAAUGCAAGAACCACCCUCAUCACAAAUGGCUAGCUGGUUGAGAUGUGGCGAAAUAAACGCGUUAAUCUCAUACCAAAAAUCCAUCCCCAAUACAAUAUCAAAGACAUCCAUCGGAACAAUCAAAAAAUCCGUUUCUCCCUUCCAACCUCCCAAGGUGAGACUCACCCGAGGAGCGAGGCCAUUGACAUUGGUAGGGAGACAAUUGACGGUCUUUAACAUGGAAUCACUGGUCACGAAUGCAACGCCAAGUUCUUUAGCCUUUUCCUCCGUAACAAAGUUAUGCGUUGCUCUGGUGUCCACCAUAAUGCGGAUUGCUCGGCCAUUCACCUCUCCAUCAACAAAUAAUGACUCUCGAGCUCUAACGCUAUGCUUCUUUGCAGCAAGGGCAGUAAGCGUCAUGUGGUUGAACAAAGCCAUAUGGUUAAACAAACCCACGGCAUGUCCCUUUCCUUUCUCCGAAUUGGCAGCUUGUGCUUCUUGCUCCCCGAAAACCCCGGCUUGCGCACUAGCUUAAUCCUUUCGUGUUGCUGCAAUCAUCGCUCCCAGCUUACUCAACGAAGGAUAAAAUCUCGCAAAGUGAGAUGUAUCCCCGCAAAGGUAGCAGCCGCUAUCGCGGUUAGCUACACCUUUCUUCUUCUCUUCGUAGUUCUUGCGGAAUGACGAUGGCUGGUUGCGUUCGCCUUAAAACUCACGAUUUUUGUUAGGAAUAAACUUGUCUUUGCCCUUGUCCCCACGAUCUCCCUUGGCAGCAACGGGCUUGUUCCAAAUAUCCUUCACCUUGGCAUAAUCGGCAUGAAAAUCAGUCAAGGAUUCCGCCACUUUGAUGGCCUCAUCCACGGUCUUGACGUUGCGCCUCCUCAACUCUUGUUUGGCCCAAUUUUGGAGGCCAUCAAGAAAGAAGAAUAGCAAAUCCUUACUGCUGAAACUCGUCACAAGAAGUGAGAGCUUCGUAAACUCCCUCACGUAGUUAUGAAUGGAAGAAGUUUAAGUUUGUCAACUUCCGUUGAGCUUUAUCUACAACGUUUUGAGAGUAAAAUUGCUCCUUCAACUCAUCCUUAAACUGAUCCCAAUCAGCUAUGGUGCAAAGACCUCUCUCCAUGUCUACUUUUUUCCUACGCCACCAUAACAUUGUGACGUCACUGAAGUACAUGGUUGCAAUUUGGAUCCUUGCUGCCCCGUCAACAAUCUUGACGUGCUCAAAAUAUAAUUCCAAUUGACAUAUGAAAUUUUCUACAUCUUGAGCGUUCCUUUCACCCUUAAACACGUUGGGUUUAGGAGCCUCAAUACGAGCAUUAUGGUAAGCCACGAAACCAUGAUUUCCACCAACACGGGCUGCUUCAGUUGUUGCUUCAAAUCAACAACUUCUUCCUGCAAAGCCGACUGCCCCAACAUCACCUCGGACAUUUUUGACCCAAACUCCUCGUGUAAUACAGAUAAUGCUUCCGUAAGCUUGAGUUCCAAGCUGGUCAACCCCUCCUUGUGCUCUUCAUUUUUCUCGAACAAGUUGGCCUUGACUUCGUCCAGCCCUUCAAGAGCAGCAGCCUCAAGGGUACCAACGUUGGACUCAAGGGUCUUGAAGCGAUGGCCCAAAAUCGCUAAGCCAGCCUCCGUGCUAAUGAUUCUCUCAUCGAGAGAGCCGGAUGCUGAACCUUCACCAUCUUCCACGUUCGUGACAGCCUUACUAACUGGAAGUUGGGCCUCAUCCUUGUUUCUACUCUUGUCAUGUUUUCUGGUCUUGGUUUUGCCCAAAUUGUCUCCGCCGUGAACCUCCUCAUCGCCAUCGUUGCCAUGUUCAAAGUGCUGCUUUGAUACCACUUGUCACGGGCCUAUUUUUAGCCACGUGCGGACAACUUAACACUCUCAAUAUCGAUGCUAAACUCAGUCCUAACCCAGCUCUAAAUCAGUCCCCAAGAACGUUUGAACACUCACAUAAACACGUAAGAAAAAAUAGCAAAGGAAGACACUCGAUUUGGGAGGCCCGAAGAGCCAAUUUUUUGAUAUAUUUCUUGAGUAAACACAAGUAUGUGAUAUCUGCCCAAGAGGGCCUUCCAAGAUAUGUAUAAAGUCCCUUAGUCAAGGGGUACAAUAAAUACUAGUCAACAUUUCUACAUUUGGCCAUGCAAUCCAUGCACUAGUGAAAGACCUUUGUCUAGCAACCUGAUUUUUCUGUGCAGUCUCUGUUCAAUAGCUGGUCAAGGCUCCAAAUCCCCAUAAAUGUUGACCCGAGCUUGUACUUUGACCUCUCAAAGAUGCCCCCACGUUGGCCUUGUCAAUGGAUGUUGUGGAAGCCCCGUCGGGCUCCGAAAUGCACCCAAAAUGCUCGAAUUAUACCCAAAACAUGAUGAAUUCAAUGGGUAGUGACGCGGGGCGUCACACUAGUCCUUAUUGUAAAGGCAUCAUGUGUUUUCCACCUCUCUACUACUAAGCAAUAAAAGUUCCUUUAACUUUGUCUUCAAGUUUUUUUUUUGUUUACUUUGGCUUGCUUAGUCUACUUUUAUUCCUGGUACACGCUAGCUCAUGGAUUAAGGAAUUCGAUGAUACGCUUCGUGUCGUGCCCAUGAUUUGCGUUCUCUAACUUUAACUUGCUCAUCGUUUGCAUUAUUGUCAUCCUUUAUUUGUUAUCUUGCAAACUUACAUAACUAACUCAAAGCUAAGUUUUAAUGUCCUCUUGAUCCACCUACAAAUUCAACUGUCUCAAGUUGAGAAUAAACUGUUAUUUUUAAUGUUUUUGGGUACAAGAAUUUGUAUUUAGGCACAACAACUUUAUCACAAGUUCAAGUCUAAAAACAAAAACACCUAUGAAGUUAUAUAACACCCUCAACACAAGAUCAAAAAAACCUUUCAAAGAAGUGUUUUUUUUUCUUCAGAAAUUUAGAUGAAACAGAAAAGGCCAAGUCCUUCGACUUCACGAAGUGUCCUUAAGGAAUAAUUCCCCUCAAGUACCCGAGGUUACAGAAUUUUCCUCCCAGGUUAAAAUGGCCUAACAAUCCAACUGUAGUGGUACCUCAAAUGAUCGGACUCUCUUCGAACUCACUCAACGAUUGAUGAUCACACGGAGUAUAUUUUUAGAAAACAAAAAGAGCUUUAUUGCAAAAAAAAUUUCGUACCUAAACCUGUGGAUAAAUAUAGGUUUAUAUAGUCAUCAAGUGUCCCUUCCAAAAGGUUACAAUGGUUUAUCCGAAAAGGUGUAUCCUUUGGAAGAGUCAUGUCUGUUCAUUCGAAACAUUGUAUUUUUUUUUGAACAGACACAGCUAUAUGAGCAGUCACUCCUUUUUCAAAAUAAUAUGUCUUUUCCUCAACGGUUGUGCCUUCCAUUUUCCAUUCACACCUAUUAAACCCAACAAUCCCCCACAUGAAUGGGGAAUGACUAUUCUUUGUAAAACUUUACGGACAAGUAUGUGAUCAUCAAGCAAAGACUGAUUGCAUCUGGAUAAGUGGGUUUUCGUUUGAACUUUCCGUAGUGAACAUGCAUGGGAUGCACUCAGUUAAUCGGUAGAUUUGAUAUCUUUGAACAGUUGAGCUUUAAUGUACACCUAGACAACACAUGUCACACAACCAGUCUUUUACCGUUUAUGGUUCUCACGGUUUUGUUCAUUUCAACCAUGAACACGUCUCGAUCUCAUGAGAGCUUAGAGAAUAGACCUUUACUAACAUUCUCCUUGAAGCAACUUCGACUUCUCCCUCACAUAAGAGAUUUCUAAACGUUCAAUCCUAUAGAUUAAACUAUUUUGUCAAAUCUGCUAAAUUUAGAUAAUCAUUAAAAAACUUCUCACCAUAAGUCUUAUCCUUAUUUACUAAACAUUGUCCACAUCAUGAGAAUGGGUUGGGUAUAUUGAUAAUGUUGAACCUGUCAGACACAACUUUGUUUGAUCUCCUUGAACGUAGAUCUUGAGAUCUCCAGUCUUCUAGGUAGAGUUAUCGCCAUGCUGACUUGUCAUAGACCGUAAACCUAUUCCCUUAAAUGUCCUCUCAACUCUUUCACUAGAUAUGCCUUUUGUAAGUGAAUUCGACACAUUAUCCUUUGACUUUACAUAGUCAACAGUGAUAAUUCCACUAGAUACAAGUUCUCUAACGGUAUUAUAUCUCCGUCUUAUAUGACAAGAUUUACCGUUGUACAUCAUGCUCCCUGCCCUACCUAUUGUCGCUUGGAUAUCGUAGUGUAUACAUACUGAUGCCAUUGGUUUGGGCCAAUAAGGAAUAUCUUCCAAGAAAUUUCGAAGCCAUUCUGCUUCUUCACCGACUUUAUCUAAUGCGAUAAAAUCAGAUUCCAUUGUAGAGCGAGCAAUACAUGUCUGUCUGGGUGAUUUUCAAGAGACAACUCCUCCACCGAUAGUAAAUACAUAUCUACUCGUGGAUUUUACUUCGUUCGAUCCGCUGAUCCAAUUUGCAUUACUAUAUCUGUAAUACCCCGUACUUUUACCUAGCUUGAAUUCAUCUUAAAAAUGUUAAAGAAAUGUUUUAAAGAUCAAUCCACUUUUAUACACAUGAAAUUUUCAAGAUUUUUACUUUUU